This 59488-nucleotide long non-coding RNA is filed under the name Vitis vinifera (wine grape). Its description in RNAcentral is "long non-coding RNA (VVIN_LNC001392)". Lineage: Eukaryota; Viridiplantae; Streptophyta; Magnoliopsida; Vitales; Vitaceae. The record is from RNAcentral.
GUGGUGGCUUCUCUCCCUUAGGUGGUUUGCCAACUGGGGUUGGUGGCUUGUGUUCUGGGAGUGGCUUCUCCCCCUUGGGAGGUUUUUCCAAUGGGGUUGGUUUGUGUUCAGGAGGUGGCUUCUCCACUGGAGGCUUGUGUUCAGGAGGUGGCUUCUCCACCGGAGGCUUGUGUUCAGGUGGUGGCUUCUCCACCGGAGGCUUAUGCUCUGGUGGUGGCUUCUCGAAUGGGGGAUGCUUAGGAUAAUCAGCAAGUGAGGGGGCGGUGAGAACCACCAGGCCAAGCAACACCACUAGCAAAUAUGUAGGAGACAUCUUUGGGUUUGGGCUCAGAUGGUGCAAAACUAGGAGAAUUGGCUAGCCUUUUAUAGCGGAUCGUACCCAAUAAUGAAAUGACACGUGUCAUUAUGACCCAUGUGUAAUGGGGUCGAUUUGGGUCCUACAGUGUUGAAAACUUCGACAUCCACUUUUGGCCUUUUGCUUUCUCUACAGCCGCCUUGCUUUUUCCCUCUUUCCUUUUGUUUUCCUCCUGCCCCAUUCUAUCAACUAAACACAAUUAUGUAGUUGUUUAAUUCUUAAAUGAGAUAUUAUCCGUCAAUCGUAUUAUAUUUUAUCAAGAGAGAACGGAGUGCAAUGUGGCUGUAAUUUUAUCGUUUAGUUUUAUCUCUUGGACCACUGCAUUUUUGUUAAGAGGUGCAAUAAUACACGUCUUUAUCUGCCAUUCAAUAUUUACAGUAAAGAGAGGGCACAAAACUCUUCACUUCGCACCAUAAUUAUUUUGUUUUCUGGACACCCCGGGGCCCUUUGGUUGGUUUGGGGGUCAGAAAGUGAACAUCAUAGGGGGUUUUUCCCUUAUGUGCAUUUGUAUCUGAUGGCUUUAACUCGCCUUGUUACUACAAAGAAACUGUCACAGAUAGGAACUUAUUCCAGGCUGAGUAUCUCCUCAUAGACCCUAUAAAAGAAGACAAGUCAUAAUGAACAUCUAACCUUUGUUCAAUUUGAUUCAAUGCCCCCAUUGUGUCCAUCUCACAAAUCUGAAUUAUUAUAUCCAUUGAAUACAUAAAUUAAUGAAGAAAAUAUGAAACCCAAGAUACAUCUCUGCACAACCUCAACCCUGGUUGCUAUGUUUCCCUUCUAUUCACAUGAUUUGAUGCUAAUUGCCAAACUUGCAACAAGCCCUGAGUUUGACACCUAGUAUCGAUGGGCGAAUUUAAAGUCUCCUCCAAACAUAUAUUCCACAGCUUGAAGCUCACAGAAGAUGUUACAGGCAGGGAAAAACCUUCAGAGUUCGCUACCAAAGAUAAUUAUUAAGGAGAUAUCACAAAGAGAAUUCCAAGGGGUCUGAAUCAAAGACAAAUUGGUCGUUCGUGGGGGUUCUUACUUUCUUUUGGGUAUAACUCACUGAGGGCACUGUCUUUGUUAUUUGCAUUUCACAUUUAGAGUUCUGUUCUGGAAACAUAUAAAAGGAGCAUCAUUUUGUUCUUGGGUAACCCAUAGUCGUGAGUGGGUCCAUUUGCAUGCUACUUAGUUGAAAAGUUGGACCAUUUGCUCCGACGCCUACCUCCCGGAUUCCAUGCUCGGAUAAAACAAGAAUAAAAAAAAUAUUUAUAAUUUACAAAUGGGGGAAAGAAAAAAAUGUCAACAACAAACCAGGAAAAAAGAGUAGUAAAAUUCAUGUCACAUGCUAGUGAGAGAAGGGGUUGUUACACUCACUCGAAGUUCUUUCCAAAAUAUCGCAUGGUAUUUUAUUUUAUGUGUCAGCGCAGUUGUGAAUGGAACGUGCAAAAGUCCAAAUUGGCGUUUUUCCUUUUCCCGUGUAGGAUGGCGACCUUUAAUAAAUAUUUAAAACAAAAAACGAAAAAAAGGAGGGAAAAGGGAUCAGAAAAGAUAAAACAAUGUGUACAAGAGCUCAAUUAGUUUGCAAAUUACUGUUUGGAUUUUGAUAGUAUUUUAUUUGUCCAUCUAUAUUUGAUGGAAAAGAGAAUUUAAGAUAUUUCUGAAACAAAAGCAUUAGUGUAAAACUAAAUUAAGGUAUAAUUAAGUUAGUUCAAUGCAUUAAUUUAAGAAACUUGAUCUAUCCAAAGUACAAAAUUAGAUGAAAUCCAUUUCAAUGGUUAAAAUGAUCAAAAUCAAACUUUUUCUAAGUAUUUUUUAAAAGCAUCAAUAUUAAAAGACAAUUUUAUAUUUAGUCGGAGUUUGGACAAAACCAAAAAGCACACAAAAUCCAAGCGACCAUCUCUAGCUUGGAUAGUCACUUGAUCCCACCUAGAGAUGUGCAUGAGUAAAAGGAUUUGAAAAUGGAAAUUGACUAAAUAUUUAGUUGAUCAAUUAAAUUUGCAAUGUCAUAUGCAAUCCUAAUAGCUAGUCAUCUAAUCAAUUAGGUAGUCAAUCAAGUGUUUGUAAUGACUAUUUUGUACAAAAAACCACAUGUAUAGUUAAAUAUAAUGCAUUUCAUUUAUAAAUCUUCUAAUUCUUGAAUAACGAUCCUAUCAUCCUUUGAAAAUUUUUAUUACACCUUUUUUACUUUUGUUCUAAAACUUACAUAUCACCCUUAAUUGUACCAUGAGAACCUAGCUAUUUUUUUUUUUUUUGUAAUUCAUCAAAGUUAGCUUUUGUAUUCAUUGUUGUAUUAUUUUUAGUAUAACUUAGAAAGCUAGUGUUUUCAAGUGAGUAAAAUUAACUUGUAAAUAUUGUAAAGAUUCAUUGAUAUGUAUCUUAAACUAAGUGUACAAAUUAAAACAUUUGCUAGUAGAUUUUCUCAAAAUUUAGAAUAGAGCUUGAGGCUAUUGAAAUAGGUGGGGUUACACCAAACCACAUCACAUCGUUGUUUGCACCUUUUUUCACUCUCUUUUACUUAGUUUCUCUAUAUUUGUUGUCUAGUAAUAUCCUAUAGGCUUGAUGGGUUAGGGAGCAUCCCUUUGUGAAAAAAUUUCAUUCAAUUCUUAGUUGUAUUACGCAUAUAUAAAAUGCCUCAUUGUUUUAAUGGUAUUCAGUCGUGGCAUCACAGAUAUGGGCAUCUAAAUUUUAAAAGUUUGAAACUUUUGUAAAGCAUGUUGAUAAAAUCCAUGAGAGUUGUGUACUUGGGAAGCAACAUCGAGGUGACUUUAUUUUUUUUUCCUUUUAUAAUGCCACACCUAAGUCCGGUUUCUAAAUGCUAAAGUGAAAGGGUAGGUAUGGACCAUUGAAAUGUGAUCACAACUUUUGGCCUUUUCCUUUCUCUGCAGCCAUGUUGUCUCUUUUUUCUUUUGCAUGAUUUUCUUACCAAAACAGAAUCAUAGACUUGUUUAGUCUCUAAGCUACUAUAUUAUAUCUCGGUGGACUUUUAAGAGUGCAACCGACAUAGAGCACAUGCAAGUGGGCAUAUGGGACAUGAAAUUUCUUCUUACAAAGAUUGCAUGAUUUUUAUAUUAGAGUUGUUCACGUGCAAUGUAUUUAGCUUGUUUUGCAGUUAAAUUAAUUGGAUAAGUAAACAUUGGCAUUUCUAAAUCGACUGUGAAGUGCUUCAUGUACGUGUAAAGUAUUAGAAAUUUCUUUCUUGGCAACUUGUUUUUUCCUUGCCAUCUACUGGUAGGUUUGACUAAAAUUAUAUUCCCUGUCAUGCUAAUUAAUUUUCAUGUGCAUGCUCAAAAGAAGAGUAUGACCUUAGUGCACCAAAAUCACUUUGAUUAAUUUGUGAUAGGUUUUUUUGCAUCAUUUAGAUAAUGUUUAGUUCUAAGAAAAAUUUAUAUAAAAAUGGUUUAUUUAUCUUACAUAUAUAUAUAUAUAUAUAUAUUUUUUUUUUUUUCAUUUUUUUUUCUUCUAUUUUAUUUAUUUAUUUUAUUUUCCUUAUGUUUUCCUCACAUUUUCCGGAACUAAACAUAGUCUUACGAAAUCAACAAUUGCCUUCAACUGAGUAGAUUCUGUUGUUUUAGCAAUGUUAGGCUGCUAACUUGUGGUGGUACGAACCAAAUGACCCAUGUUAAUCUUGGCUUGGUUUGAUUUGGCUCUAUCUCAGAGAGCUAAAGGAUCACGUCAACUCUGGUUUCUACUAUUCAGGUCCAUUCCCAGAUGAACUGGUUCAAAUUUGAGAAAAUGGUAACAGACCUUUAGUGAUGUUGGUUUGGAGCCAGUUGCCAAACCCGCCCUGAGCUUUACCACUAAUGUCAAGGGAGAAAGCCAUUUGAACAAAAACAAUAGCUUCAAGAGACUGAAUCGUGGAUGAAAUCUGAUCCACAUUUCUUCUCAUUUUGGGAAAAAAUGAGAACUUAACUACAAAGAUUCUACUGCCUCAUUCAUAGUGCUUUUCCUGAUCCAAGGUUGGUUCGUUUCCCAAAUUGUGAGGUGCACGUGCCACUCUCACGCUCAGGAGUGUAUCCACGUGGUGGACAUCAGAUGGUGGCUUAAUAUCUGGUGUCGGUGGCUUUACUUUACUAGGAGAGUAGUGUGUCUUCAUCUCAUUCACUGCCGGAGGGUGGCGUAAGCAGUGACGCUAAGGUGGGGCACAGUCAAUAUCAUUUGCAUUUGACCAUUAUAGUUUUCUCCCGGCUUGAAAGUAACCUUAUCGUGAUAAAGGAUUACUAGCACUAGUUCAGAUGACCGUCAUGUUAAUUCGGACCAUGUUUGUGUCACAUUAUCAGCAACCAUGUGUUUAUGGUUCAUGCUAUCUGCAACUAAACUUGAUAUAUAACCAGGUGAACUUCAAUCAAAAUUCUGGAAGUACUCUUGUGAUAGAUGGUGCCUGUCUGCAGAGUCCAUCAAUUGAAAAAUGGAGUGAGUGUAUCUAUAAGAGGGAAGGCUUGGCAAAUGUUCAGUUUUCUGGGAAUUCAACAAGGAUCUAAAAUAGAUUGUUUUCUUUGCCGACUUCAAUGGUUGAAAUUUGAGAAGAUUGUGUCCACAUAUCACAACUAUUACUGGUCCUUCUGUUGCAAUUUAUCCUGUAAGGCUCUAACAUGUCUUCCAAUUCCCACUUCCCUGUUACUCCAGGAAAGCUAUUUCUGUCAUUGUGAAGAAGAAAAGAGAAUGUACAUAUCGAUGCUUUUAAGUGACUGGAGCAUUCAUAUCAGGUGGUCUGCAGCCAUAUAUGCCACUUUGUGAAGGUUGGAACAGUCAAUCACUAGGCUAUAUAUUGGUGUGGCCCAGCCACUUCAAUCAAGGACAAGUCUUCAUACUUAAAGUCAAAUUCUGCCUUUAGUCUCAUUAUAAAUUGCUGUUUAAAUAUUAAGCAAACUUUUGUUUAAUGCGAUUAAGACAGUACUAACUCAAUACUUGUUCUAUUUUUGGAUGCAAAUGCUUGAUGGUUUCAUCAUUGGAUGGGAUAAAGGUGCAUUCAUGAUUAUGAAUACUUGUAGUUAUAUUUUCAUUCUCUUUUUUCUCAAUGAGACUUGUUGGCACAAUGUUGCUGUUCAGAAACCUACCUCUCCAUGGAAAAUAAGUUGCGAUUGAUAGUACUGGAUAUGUUCAAGAAAGCUAAAUAUAGAUAGCACAAAAUAUUAUCGAUAUAAAUAGCAUUAACAGCGUACGUAUGUCUCAAUGCUCAUCAGCUAUAAGCAUGGGACAAACACUUACUAUGAGCAACUUACGUCAAAAUUCCAGAAUAGGACAUAGAAGUGACAGAUCUAUAUAUAUAGAACACUGCAUAUGAGUCACAAGAAAGGAAAUUACGGGUGCAUAGCAGCUCUUAUUUUACAUACUACUACUCAUACUGAUCAAAGUCACUCAGUUGGGAUGGGUGGGAGUAGGAGGUUUGUGGGGUGGCUUGUGCGGAGGAGUUGGCAGCUUCUUUCCAGGACCUGGUUGCUUCUCUGCUGGAGUUGAAGGAGGCUUAAUCUUCCGAGGUGGCUUGUAUGAGUCUUCAGCAUUCUCAGCUGGAGGGUGACCAGGGUUGUGACCAUAAUGUGGUGGCUUCUCUCCCUUAGGUGGUUUGCCAACUGGGGUUGGUGGCUUGUAUGAGUCUUCAGCAUUCUCAGCAGGAGGGUGACCAGGGUUGUGACCAUAAUGUGGUGGCUUCUCUCCCUUAGGUGGUUUGCCAACUGGGGUUGGUGGCUUGUGUUCUGGGAGUGGCUUCUCCCCCUUGGGAGGUUUUUCCAAUGGGGUUGGUUUGUGUUCAGGAGGUGGCUUCUCCACUGGAGGCUUGUGUUCAGGAGGUGGCUUCUCCACCGGUGGCUUGUGUUCAGGAGGUGGCUUCUCCACCGGAGGCUUAUGCUCUGGUGGUGGCUUCUCCACCGGAGGCUUAUGCUCUGGUGGUGGCUUCUUGAAUGGGGGAUGCUGAGGGUAAUCAGCAAGUGAGGGGGCGGUGAGAACCACCAGGCCAAGCAACACCACUAGCAAAUAUGUAGGAGACAUCUUUGGGUUUGGGCUCAGAUGGUGCAAAACUAGGAGAAUUGGCUAGCCUUUUAUAGCGGAUCGUACUCAAUAAUGAAAUGACACGUGUCAUUAUGACCCAUGUGUAAUGGGGUCGAUUUGGGUCCUACAGUGUUGAAAACUUCGACAUCCAGUUUUGGCCUUUUGCUUUCUCUACAGCCGCCUUGCUUUUUCCCUCUUUCCUUUUGUUUUCCUCCUGCCCCAUUCUAUCAACUAAACACAAUUAUGUAGUUGUUUAAUUCUUAAAUGAGAUAUUAUCGGUCAAUCGUAUUAUAUUUUAUCAAGAGAGAACGGAGUGCAAUGCAGCUGUAAUUUUAUCGUUUACUUUUAUCUCUUGGACCACUGCAUUUUUGUUAAGAGGUGCAAUAAUACACGUCUUUAUCUGCCAUUCAAUGUUUACAGUAAAGAGAGGGCACAAAACUCUUCACUGCUCUGCAUGUGUCCCAAAAAUGCGAUUGGACAAAUUAUGAUUUGCAUGCUAAAAAGAGGCAAAUGAGGUUAAUUCGCACCAUAAUUAUUUGGUUUUCUGGACACCAUAAAAAGAUGUUAUACAGGCAGGGAAAAACCUUCAGAGUUAGCUACCAAAGAUAAUUAUCAAGCAGAUAUCACCAAGAGAAUUCCAUAGAGUCUGAAUCAAAGACAGAUUGCUCGCUCGUGGGGGUUCUUACUUUCUUUUGGGUAUAACUCACUGAGGUCACUGUCUUUUUUAUUUGCAUUUCACAGUUAGAGUUCUGCUCUGGAAGGUUUGUUCUGGAAACAUAUAAAAGGAGCAUCAUUUUGUUCUUGGGUAACCCAUAGUCGUGAGUGGGUCCAUUUGCAUGCUACUUAGUUGAAAAGUUGGACAAUUUGCUCCGACGCCUACCUCCUGGAUUCCAUGCUCGGUAAAACAAGAAUAAAAAAAAAUAUAUAAUUUACAAAUGGGGGAAAGAAAAAAUGUCGGAAAAAAUAGUAAAAUUCAUGUCACAUGCUAGUGAGAGAAGGGGUUGUUACACUCACUCGAAGUUCUUUUCAAAAUAUCGAAUGGUAUUUUACUUUAUGUGUCAGCGCAGUUGUGAAUGGAACGUGCAAAAGUCCAAAUUGGCGUUUUUAUUUUUCCCAUGUAGGAUGGUGACCUUUAAUAAAUAUUUAAAACAAAAGACGAAAAAAAAAAGGAGGGAAAAGGGAUCACAAAAGAUAAAAUAAUGUUUACAAAAGCUCAAUUAGUUUGCAAAUUACUGUUUGGAUUUUGAUAGUAUUUUAUUUGUCGUUCUAUAUUUGAUGUAAAAGAGAAUUUAAGAUAUUUCCGAAGCAAAAGCAUUAGUUUGCUCUGUGAUGUCCCACAUCGAAUAGGGGAGAAAGUUUCUGGCGCUAUAUAUGUAGAGGCUCCUCUUAACCAAGUAGAUGCGUUUUAAAACCAUGAGGGCCCCCUUAGGUCCAAAGCGGACAAUAUCUACAUGAUUGGGUGUAAGUCAUUACAAAUGGUAUCAGAGCCGAUCCCCGACCCCGGUGUGGGGGUUUGUUUGGCCCUGUAAGGGGUGUUUGUCUGUUUGACCCCACAAUCCCAUGGGACACAACGAGGACGUUGUGUCUGCAUGGGGGGGCGUUUGUGAUGUCCCACAUCGGAUAGGGGAGAAAGUUCCUAGUGCUAUAUAUGUAGAUGUUUCUCUUAACCAAGUAGAUGCAUUUUAAAAUUGUGAGGGCCUCUUUGGGCCCAAAGCGGACAAUAUCUACAUGGUUGAGUGUAAGUCAUUACAUGCUCCAUGUCAAUUUCAGCAUUUCUCAUAUGUUUCACACAUACACAGAAGAGCAUCGUUUUUUAAAGCAUGCAUUUAUGUUGGAUUAAUUUGGAUUUUGUGGGAACUGGGGCAAGGAUCACAUGGAAGAGAGGUUGACUUUUUUCAGUACUUCAAUGGUUGAAAUAUGUGAAGGCUUGAUUGAUACUAAAGCUUGAAAUUGCGACUCUGUCAUUUGUAAAAAAAUAUGACAGCUUCCAUGCUCUCGUUUGGUUGCAUUGUCCGGUCGAGAGGUGCAAAAAGCAUUCUCUCUCUUCUAAUAGUCUUUUCGUUUAAAUCAAGGGAUUUGCCUUCCCGGUCGAGGUCCAAUAGAGGGUAACGGUCACCUACUAAACAUUAAAUGCUCCAACAACUAGUGAACUGAUCGACCCCAGCUCGACUAGUUGAGGUUACUUUUUGGUUUUCUUGUCUCCCGAGGUUAGAAACCUAUAAAUAGAGAGCUUCACUUCAUUUAUGAGUAAGAGAACACCUAAAUUUAUUUGUUUACCUACUUGUUUUUGCCAUAAAAGCUCUCAUUUCUUUUCUUGGUGUAUUAAAUCUCCAUUUGCAUAUCCUUUAGUGCACCUUUGUGAUUCAUUCUAGCCUUGAGUUGUAUUUAAGCCUUUGUUGAGCUAGGUUGAGAGUUUCAUACUUGUUUAUUGAGUGUUAAAGCCUUCAAGUGAGUUAAAACUUGAAGAGAUUGUGUAAGAGCCCAUUGGAGUCGGAAUCCAAGUGUAAAGGUGAUUAAAAGCUUGGUUGAAGCUUCAAGUUAGUGGAACUCUCACUCGGUUAUGAGCUUGAGAAGAGUGGACAUAGACAAGGCAGUGUCGAACCACUAUAAAAUCUGAGUUUGAUUUCUCUAACCUUAUCUCUUUAUAUUUGCUUCUCUUGUGCUUAAAUUUUUUGUGUUUAAAAAGAAUUUUUAAAAACUCAAUUCACCCCCUUCUUGGGAGUUUUUCUCUUUUAAGAUCAGCUUUUAUUUUCUCAAUUGGUAUCAGAACUAUGCCUCUUGUUUAAGACUUAAUCGUCUAAGAGGAAAUGGCUAAUCCAUCAAGUUCAUCUCACAUUGAAAGUUUUGCAACCAAUAGACUUCUUUUUUUUUUUUUGCGGGAACUGAUUAUCCCUAUUGGAAAACUAAAAUGACUUGGUUUUUACAAUCAAUUGAUUUAGAUGUAUGAGAUGCCAUUGAAGAUGACCUAACUUUUCCUUCAAAACUAGUUGAUGGAGUCAUGGUUCCAAAACCUAAGCAAGAAUGGGAUGAGCGUGAUUGAAGAAAUUUUCAAUUAAAUGCUAAAGUCGUUUAUACUUUGCAAUGCUCUAUGGACAGAAAUGAAUAUAAUAGAAUAUGUCAAUGCAAAUCGGUUAAAGAAAUUUGGAGAUUGCUUGAAAUAACUCAUAAAGGAACAAAUCAAGUUAAAGAGUCAAAAAUCAAUUUACUUGUUCAUAGAUAUGAAUUGUUUUUUAUGAAAGAUAAUGAAACUAUUGUUAAGAUGAUCACUAGGUUCACCAACAUUGUUAAUGGUCUUAAAGCCUUGGGAAAGACCUACAAGGAAUCCGAAAACGUGAUGAAGAUCUUGAGGUCACUUCCAUCAAAGUGGCAUACCAAGGUCACCGCAAUUUAAGAAGCAAAAGACUUGAUCAAGCUACCUUUGGAGGAGUUCAUAGGGUCAUUGAUGACAUAUGAAAUCAAUUUGGCAAAGAAGUAACAAAAAGGUGAAGACAAAAAGAAGAAGAACAUAACUCUCAAAGCUACAACUAAGGAAGAAGAAGUUGAAGAAGAAAAACAAAUUGAAGAAGAUGAAGAUUUAGCCCUCAUCACAAGAAAGUUCAACAAAUUCAUGAGGGGUGAAAGGUUUAGAAGAAGAAGGUUCACUUCUAGAAGAGACUUUUCUAAAAAGGAAUCUUCAUCUAAUGGUGACAAAAAGAGAUGGGAAGAGAAAAGAGACUUGGUGUGUUUCAAGUGCAAGAAACCGGGACACAUUAAAUAUGAUUGUCCUCUCUACAAAAGUGAAGUCAAGAGGAAAAAGAAUAAGGCAAUGAUGGCCACUUAGAGUGAAAGUGAAGAUGAAUCAUCCGAAGAAGAAAAUGAGAAAGAAGUGGCAAACAUGUGUUUCAUGGCAAUAGAUGAACUUGAUGAGGUAAAAUCUAACCUUAGUGAUUAAGAUAUACAUGAUGCAUUUGAAGAAUUGUAUGAGGAUUUUUAAAAACUUAGUUUGAAAAAUAUUUCUCUUAAAAAGAAAGUUCAACAACUUGACAAAGAACUUAGAGAAGUAAAAGAAAAAUUUUCAAAUGUUAAAGUUUCUAAAACUCAUCUUGAAAAAGAAAAUGAGAUUCUAAGAAAGAAAAAUGAAUAGUUGAACUCCUCUCUUUCAAUCUUUUCUUCUAGACAAAAAUCUUUUGAAAUGAUUCUAACUAGCUAAAAAUGUGUUUUUGACAAACAAGGGUUAAGAUUUAAAUCUUCAAAAAAUCAAAAGUAUUUUAAAAACUAUUUUGUAAAGGAAUCCACAAGUGCAAGUCCUUCCACUACUUGCAACUUUUGUGGAAGAGAAUGGCACAUUAGUAGUACGCCCUUUAAGAAAUGGUUCUCAAAAGAAUUUAAAUGCAAAAACUAAAAAAGAUUUGGAUUGAGAAAUCCAAGGUCACUAACCCUCAAGGACCCAAAAAGAUAUAGGUACCUAAAUCAACUUGAGUUUUAUGUUGUAAGGUUCAAAGAAUGAUAAGUGGUUCUUAGAUAAUGGUUGCUCAAGACACAUGACCGGAGAUGAAUCCAAGUUUGCUUUUCUUAAAAAGAAAAAUGGAGGAUAUGUUACCUUUGGAGACAAUGCAAAAGAAAGGAUGAUUGGUCAAGGCAACAUUGGUAAUGGCACAUCCUCUCUCAUUGAAAGUGUUUUAUUAGUAGAUGGUUUCAAACAUAACCUUUUAAGCAUUAGUCAAUUUUGCGACAAAGGUUUUUAAGUGAUUUUUUAAGCAUCUCAUUGCAUCAUCAAGGAUAUUCAAAAUGAUAAAACCAUUUUCAUGGGCCAUAGAUGUGAUAAUGUUUAUGCUAUAAAUAUUUCAAAAUAUGAUGGCCAUGAUAGAUGUUUUUCAAGCAUGCAUGAUCAAAGUUGGUUGUGCCAUAGGAGAUUGAGACAUGCUAACAUAGACCUCAUUUCCCAACUCAACAAAGAUGAACUUGUUAGAGGCCUUCCCAAAAUAAUUUUUUAAAAAGAUAAAGUUUGUGAAGCUUGUCAAGUGGGAAAGUAAAUCAAAAACUCUUUUAAAAACAAAAACUUCAUUUCCACAUCUAGGCCACUUGAGUUGUUGCAUAUGGAUUUAUUUGGUCCCUCUAGGACACCAAGUCUUAGAGGAAAUUCUUAUGCAUAUGCUAUUGUGGACGACUUCUCUAGAUACACAUGAGUCUUGUUUUUUAGUCAAAAGAAUAAAGUUUUUUAUGAGUUUUCAAAGUUUUGCAAUAAGAUUCAAAAUGAAAAAGGUUUUUCAAUUACUUAUAUAAGAAGUGAUCAUGGGAGAGAAUUCGAAAAUAUUGAUUUUGAAGAGUAUUGCAAUGAGCAUGGAAUUGACCACAAUUUUUUGGCUCUUAGAACUCCUCAACAAAAUGGGGUAGUUGAAAGGAAAAAUAGAACUCUUCAAAAAAUGACAAGAACCAUACUAAAUGAAAACAACUUACCAAAAUAUUUUUAGGCCAAAACGGUUAACACUUCUUGUUAUGUUUUAAAUAGAGUAUUAUUGAGGCUCAUACUUAAGAAAACUCCCUAUGAGCUUUGGAAAAACAAAAAACCCAACAUUAGUUAUUCCAAAGUCUUUGGAUGCAAUAUUUUAUAAUAAACACCAAAGACAAUCUUGGAAAAUUUGAUGCAAAAUUGGAUGUUGGAAUUUUCCUUGGUUACUCAACUUCAAGUAAAGCUUUUCGAGUUUUAACAAAAGAACCAUGGUUGUAGAGGAGUCCAUCCAUGUUAUUUUUUAUGAAUCUCCAAGAAAGAGAGAGGAUUGAUGAUGAUUUAGGUUUGAAGACCUCUAUAGGAAGAUUGCAAAUCGAAGAUAGAAGACAACAAGAAGAAAAUGGAGAGAAUCCAAAGAAAGAAGGAUCACCAUUGGCACUACCCCCUCAUCAACAAGCGCAAGGUGAAUCAAGUCAAGAGCUUCCUAAAGAAUGGAAGUUUGUCAUCAAUCACCCACAAGAUCAAAUUAUAGGCAAUCCAUCUAGUGGGGUAAGAACUAGAUCCUCUCUUAGAAAUAUUUGCAAUAAUCUAGCUUUUAUCUCUCAAAUUGAGCCUAAAAAUAUAAAUGAUGUUUUAGAUGAUGAAAAUUGGAUAAUUGCAAUGCAAGAAGAGUUAAAUCCAUUUGAAAGAAGUGGAGUAUGGGAAUUAGUACCAAGACCUUCAAAUCAAAGUGUUAUUGGAACUAGAUGGAUCUUUAGAAAUAAAAUGGAUGAAAAUAGCAUAAUUGUUAGAAAUAAAGCAAGAUUGGUAGCCCAAGGUUUUAAUCAAGAAGAAAUGAUAGAUUAUGAAGAAACCUUUGCCCCCGUAGCUAGGUUGGAAGCCAUUAGGAUGCUACUUGCCUUUGCAUGUUUUAAAGACUUUGUUUUAUAUCAAAUGGAUGUGAAAAGUGCUUUUUUAAAUGGUUUUAUAAAUGAAGAAGUAUAUGUUGAACAACCACCCGGUUUUCAAAGUUUCAACUUUCCUAACCAUGUUUUUAAACUUAAAAAGACACUUUAUGGUUUGAAACAAGCACCUAGAUCAUGGUAUGAAAAAUUGAGUAAAUUUCUUUUGAAAAAAAUGUUUUAAAAUGGGAAAAAUUGACACAACUCUUUUUAUAAAAACCAAAGAAAAUGAUAUGCUCUUAGUUCAAAUAUAUAUUGAUGAUAUCAUUUUUGGUGCUACUAAUGUCUCUCUUUAUGAAGAAUUUUCUAAGUGCAUGCAUAGUGAGUUUGAAAUGAGCAUGAUAGGAGAACUCAACUUCUUCCUUGGACUUCAAAUCAAGCAACUAAAGGAAUGAACCUUCAUCAAUCAAGCAAAGUAUAUAAGAGAUCUUCUCAAAAGGUUCAACAUGGAAGAAGCCAAAACAAUGAAGACUCUAAUGAGCUCAUCCAUUAAGCUUGAUAAGGAUGAGAAAGGUAAAUCCAUUGACUCUAUUAUGUAUAGAGGCAUGAUAGGUUCUUUGCUCUAUUUGACCACUAGUAGACCUUACAUUAUGUAUAGUGUGUGUUUGUGUACUAGAUUUCAAUCUUGUCUUAAAAAAUCUCACUUAAGUGUCGUGAAAAGAAUCCUCAAAUAUUUGAAAGGGACAAUGGACAUAGGCUUAUGGUAUCCUAAGAGUGAUAACUUUGAAUUAAUUGGUUUUUUGGAUGCUGAUUUUGUCAGUUGUAGGGUUGAAAAAUAAAACACUAGUGGCACUUUUCAUUUCUUAAGACACUUACUUGUCUCAUGGCAUAAUAAGAAGCAAAAUUUGGUAGCUUUGUCAACAGCAGAAGCUAAAUACAUAGCAACUGGUUUAUGUUGUGCACAAAUCCUUUGGAUGAAAUAAACACUUAGUGAUUUUGAUUUAUCUUUUGAGCAUAUUCCUAUUAAAUGUGAUAAUAGUAGUGCCAUAAGUAUAUCAAAAAAUCUCGUGCAACACUCUAGGACUAAGCAUAUAGAGAUUAGACAUAAUUUUCUUAGAUAUCAUACACAAAAGGAUGAUAUAACACUUGAAUUUGUAAGCAUAAAAGACCAACUUGCCGAUAUCUUUACAAAACCUCUAAGAACAUUUUGUUGAUAUUAGAGGACAAUUAGGAGUGAUUUCUUUAUGAUCUAAUGUGAUGAAUUCUUGAUGAAUAUACUUUUUGAUUGCAUGAAUUUCAUGUCAUAUAUGCAUCAUAUAGAAAUAUACUUAGAUAAUGGUCAAAUUUCGACCAAAAAUCAAAAUUCCCAUGGCAUUAGGCAUAAAAAUUUUGGAAUUUCAACUGAAAAUGGUAGGAGGAGGAUCACAAAAUGAGAAAGUAUGCAAAAAUUGAAAAAUCAAAACGUUGACCAAGCGGUCAAUCGGACUAGACCGAUCGACUAGUUUGUCGAGAUUUAGGAUUUUUAAGAGACUCCAACGCUUCAAUUUUUGCACCGUUCUCCUCUAUUUCUUCACGGUUUCUCUGAUUUUGUCUUUUAGAGACUAAUUUGAGUGCGUUUUGGAUCAAUUGAAGCAUUUUGGAUUGGAUUUUAGGAAGAUUGAAAGUUAAGGUUUCGGAUUUGGGUCGCCUUCUCUUCCUCUCGCGUGUCACAAUCAGCUUUAGCAUUGUUCUCUUUCCAUUUUCACACACCUAGGGUUUCAGUUGUGAGCAUCUCUCUCUCUUUACCAACCACUACUCCCUUGCUUCUUCCAUAUGGCUCCUAGGCGAGAGUCCGCUACUUCUAGGGCACAAGGCAAGCACCCAACUGAGUCGUCUCAGUCAAAGGCACGUCGAAAAGUGAGAUUUGACAUUGCCUUGUUCAGUUCCAUGGAGGACUACCAACUAUACAAGCAACACUUUGCUUAGAGACGAGUAGUUCCCAAGAGAAAUAUUAAUUUUCCUCAACUUCAGCAUUUCGAAUUUAAGGGUCUAUUUACUAGGAUGGUUGGUUGUCUAUUGUCACAAUUUCGGAGCCGGUUUUCCUGACCUUAGUGCGAGUUUUUUACUCGAGGGCGACUUAUGGCAUGGGUGGCAUGAUCAUUUCUACUGUUGGAGGAGUUGAGAUCUGUCUGGACCCAGAGAGCAUCUGCCAUAUUUUCGAUAUUGCUCUGGUUGGACUCAAAGUAUACAAGUCCAAAAUGUGGCCCAUUGUGCCAGGAUUUGAGCUUAGAGAGGUCAUUCAGAGGAUUUGUGAACUUCCAGACGCCCAGGAGAUGGGCAAACCAUUGCCACACAGUUUGACGGUCAUCAACAGGGUGCUACACCAUAUAUUGUGCUCUAUCUUUCUACCACGAAGUGGACAUUGAGAUGAGGUCUCUUAUUAUGAGGCAUUCCUUAUUGACUCCAUUCUAACGGAGAGACGAAUUCAUCUACUAUGUCAUCAUUCACUAAGCCUCCUCACAGUGACAUACCACCUCAUCAGGCACCUCUUGCUCCUGACCAUGCUCCAUUGAUGGAUUUAUUUACUCAUAUUAGCUCUCUAGGCACUCGCAUGAAGGAGUUUGUUGUAGUUAGUGAUACAUGGUUCUACUCCAUAGAGGAUCGCAUGGAUCAGUAUCAGACUGGCUUCACGUCACAGUUUGAGUAUCUCCAAUAGAGGAUUGAGCAUAUUGAGGAUCACUUGAGCAUGAGAAGAUGAUGGCUUUUCUAUGCUCUGUGUUUCCACCUCCACCUCGUCAACCUUGAUUUCUUAGAGACCCAUUGUUUUCAUUUUGUAAUGUUGCCAAAAGGGGGAGAUAUUUAGGAUCUAGGACUCUAUAGGAGACUUACAUGCAUAUCAUUUUCAUAUCAUUGUUUGGAUCGUACAUAUUGGAUAGUGAUACUUUUUACUUAUAUAUGAUAUGCCUAUAUGUUUCAUGUCUUACAUUGUUUCUUAUUGCAAAUUAUCUCUAACAUGUCUUGAUUAUCUUUUUUUUAACUUCAUAAAUUUUGAUUGUUAACCCAUGAUUGGUUUGAGGGGAAGAUUCUUCUUCUCCUAGAUAACCAAGGUUUGUCAUCAUAAAAAAAUUGGAGAUUGUUAGCCCAAGGGUUCUCCUAAUCAUGUUUUGAUGAUAACAAACCAUGCUUAAGUUACUAAUUGGUUUGAAUUAUAAAGAAUUUCAAGUGUUAAUUUGAAAAUUCAUCAAAGAACCUAAUGGAUGCAAGAUCAAGAUUUUUGGAAGACCUUUAAUCAUAAGAAACAUAUGUAAGAUGAAUGCAUGGGUGCACUUAAGAUUUGCAUAUCAUUUCAUGCAUAUUUGGAAAACACGGUUUAUGCUUUAAAGUUACAUUUCCAUCAAAAUUUGAGAUCCAUCAAAUGAACCUUAGGAAAAAUGUUUUAAAAUUGGCAUAUAAUUUUACCUAAAGACCUUGCCUAAGUGUUAGAAGCAAAAGGACAAAAAAAAUAUAGGUUUUCUGGUCAAAAAUGGUGAACCAGUCAAGGCAUUGUCUAAAUCAGCUCAAUCGGCCAAGGUACCGGUCGAUCGGUUUCCCUUUCCCUGUCGAGAUCUAGUCAAGAGGUACAAAAAUCACAAUCUCUGUCUCUUUCUCUCUUUGUCUAUCUUCCAGUAGUCUUUCCUUCCCGGUCGAGGGAUUUGCCUUCCCGAUUGAGGUCCGAUUGAGAGUAAUAGUCACUUGCCAAAUAUUAAAUGCUCCAACAGUUAGUGAACUGGUCGACCCCCACCUUGCCCAGUUGAGGUUACUUUUUGGUUUUCUUGGCUCCCGAUGUUAGAAACCUAUAAAUAGAGAGUUCCACUUCAUUUAUGAGCAAGAGAACACUUGCAUUUAUUUGUUUACCUACUUGUUCUUGCCUUAAAAGCUCUCAUUUCUUUUCUUGGUGCAUUAAAUCUCCAUUUUGAUAUCCUUUAGUGCACCUUUGUGAUUCAUCUUAGCCUUGAGUUGUAUUUGAGCCCUUUUUUUAGCUAGGUUGAGAGUUUCAUACUUGUUAAUUGAGUGUUAAAGCCUUCAAGUGAGUUGAAACUUGUAGAGAUUAUGUGAGAGUCGAUUGGAGCCGAAAUCCAAGUGUAAAGGUGAUUAGAAGCUUGGUUGAAGCUUCAAGUUAGUGGAAUCCUCACUCAAUUAGGAGCUUGAGGAGAGUGGACGUAGCCAAGGAAGUGUCGAACCACUAUAAAAUUUGAGUUUGAUUUCUCUAACAUUGUCUCUUUAUAUUUGUUUAUCUUGUGCUUAAAUUUAUUGUGUUUAAAAAGAAUUUUUAAAUACCCAAUUCACCCCCCUCUUGGGUGUUUUUCUCUUUUAAAAUUAGCCUUUAUUUUCUCACAAACUAUUGUAGUAUAGUGGUUUUUAGGUGUCAUCCAUUAGGAUGAAUUGUUCUCGGUAAUUAAGGCGUGAAUGAGAGGAGAAUUAAUGAUUGUGAUUAAGUAAAAUUGAUUUGAAAAUUCAUGGUGAAAAAUCAAUUUAACAAUGGUUUCUAAUUGAGAAAAACAAUGAAAUGUGAAAUAAAAUAAAAUUAAUAGGAAAUGAAAUUCUCGAAGUUAGAAUUUUCUAAAAAACAAAUUCCAUGGUGAAUGGAUGUUGAGAUCUAAUUUUCAUCAAGUUAGAUUGAAAACCGAAAUUUUCAUAUAAACUGAUUUUUUAUUUAGUUUUAGGUCUAGAUUUAAUUUCCCUUAAAAUUAGGUUAUUUAAUCCAAGAAAUCAAUUCAAAUCAUAUAUUCAAUUCAUCUUAAAUUAUCUUCCAAUUAUUCACACAAUGCAACUAUUCAAUCUCAUCAAAUCUAGCUUUUAAGAAUUUAAUGAAUCUACCUAGUUUGCAUUGUAAUAGUCAUCCAUGACAAUUUGAAGAGAAAAAUAAUUCAAUUAAUCAAUCACUUGGAUCAAAUUACCUUUGCAAUUAAAGUUCAUUUCUCUAAUUCACCACAGAUUUUGUCUCUAGAUCCUCCUUUCUCAAAGAAAAAUGAGAUUUAGCCACACAUGAUUGGAGAUUUGGUCUCAUAAGGCAUGUUUAGCUAGUGAUAAAAUGAGAGAAAAUAAAGAAAAAUAGAGAAUUCGAUUAAGAAAGAAAAUCUAAAAAAUUCUACAAUUAGAAAUGUCCAAAAAGCUUUUUCAUGAGAAAAUCAAGUUUCUAUUUAUAGGCCAAGGUCAAGUGGACACUUGACAUCAUCUAAGAGGUCUUCCGGAAGCUUCUUCAUCAAGAAAUCUGGAGUUUAAUAAUAAAAUGGUCAUUUCACAAGAGCUCAAACAAUUUCGCAUGAUUAUGUGAAAUAAAAAAUGCAACAACAGCAAUUUACAUCUUCUUGGAGCAUUUCGCAUGACUGUGUGAAAUUUUCACAUGAUCAUGUGGAAUCGACUUGACAACUCUCAUUUAGCCUACAACAUAAUUCCACCUUUUGGUCCAUUUUUCAUAGUCAUGCGAAAUGGAAAUAUUUGAUUUUUAAGUUUUCUUUUGUCAUUUCUUUCAUUUCCUUCUCUUGAUUCCACUUCAACUACCUCCGAAUCCUGGUCCAAACCAAUUGCAUUACUUCUUUCAUUAUGCAUUUGGAUCAUCAUCAACAUUAUUUGUUCUCUUCAAUUUGAUUCAUCUCUUUUGUCACCAAUUUAUCAAAAUCAUACCUUGAAAUGACUCCAAAACUUCAUAAAACUUGUUAGUAACUCUUGCAAGGGCAACAACAUAUUAAUUAAGUGUUUUAGGCAUAGUUACUACUCAAAAGAUGCGAAACUCAUGAUAAUUAUUAUAUAAAAUAUGCUCUUUUUGAGUAGUAAUCAACUUUCUUGCAUAAGCAGACCUUUUAGGGUGGAGUACUAAAGACCAAUAUGCUUGUCCUUGUUGUAAUAAAGAAACUUGCUCUUAUUGAUUGCACCAUGGGAGAAAAUUUUGCUACAUGAGUUAUCAUCAAUUUCUUCCCACCAAUCAUAGAUUUAGACGUGACAAGAGGCCUCUUAAUGGCAAGGAGGAACUGACACUCACACUUAUACAAUUAUCGGGCAUUGAUGUGUUGCAACAAUUAGAAUAACUUACACCAAUUAUGUUGGGGAAGUCACAAAAGGCAAACAUGAAAACUAAAAGGAAAAAAGAAAAAUGUUACAUAUCACCACAACUGGAAAGAAAAAAGUAUUUACUUUCAUUUGCCAUAUUGGAAAGCACUUAUUUUACAUCAUAAUAAUUUAGACAUAAUGCAUAUUGAGAAAAAUGUGUGACAAUAUAAUUGAGACAUUGUUCAGUAUUGACGAAGAAACAAGGACAACCUAAAUAGUCAUCUCGAUUUACAAGCUCUAACUAUUAGAAAUGAGAUUCACCCAAUAGAAAGCAGGACCAAAUUUAUUUUGCUUGCAACAUGCUACUCACUCACCCCAAAUGAGAUUAAGGAAUUUUGCAAGUUUUUGAAAUCAAUAAAGGUCCCCAAUGGCUAUUCUUUCAAUAUCUCUCGUUAUGUGCAACUCAAUGAAAGGAAGAUAUAUGAGCUCAAAUUGUAUGAUUGUCAUGUCCUAAUGCAACAACUUCUCUCACUUGUAGUUCGUGGAGUUCUACAUAAGAAUGUUUGUGGAGUUAUCAUAGAAUUGCGUAAUUUUUUCAAGCAAUUGUGCUCAAAGGUGUUAGAAACAAAUCACUUACACCAACUUGAGAACAAUAUUAUUGUCAUACUAUGUAAAAUGGAGCAAAUAUUUCUUCCAUCAUUCUUUGAUAUUAUGGUGCAUUUACUUGUGCAUCUAGUAAGGCAAAGGUUGCAAGACUUGUGCAAUAUUGUUGGAUGUACCUAAUUGAACGAUAUUGUUAUAAUUUCAUAUGAAUCAUUUAAUUUUAUUUUAUAUUAUGUUCAGUUCAUUAACAUGUACAUUGGUCUACAUAUGGAUGAUGAUAGGUACCUAAGCACUUUAAAGUCAUAUGUGCGUAAUAGAACUUUUCUAGAAGGUUCUAUUGUAGAAAGGUACCUUGCAAAAGAAUGUACAACAUUUUAUUCUAGGUACUUGAAUGAUGUGGAAAUAAAGUAUAAUCACAAUGAUAGAAACUUUGUUGGUUUCAACACUAGAGGAGAUGAAAGGGGUUAUCUUUAAACAUAUUGGACAUGCAUUGGGAAAGCCCAUAUUUCAUUAACUUAGUUCAAAAGAGUGGUCACAAGCACAUUUAUAUGUGUUGACAAAUUGCGAAGAUGUCAUACCAUUCAUUGAGUAAAAAAUUUAUUUGAAUUUUAAUUAAAGCUCUAGUUUAUAUCCUUAAUCAAUGUUUUUUAAAUUCACAAGGAGCACAAGCAAACCAUCAAGGCUAGACCACAUAUACGUGUUUGAGACGUAGAUUUAAUUCAUAACAAGGAAUUUAUCAAGUGGUUUGAAAGACAUGUAAGUAUAUUCCUUAUUAUAAGGGAUUUAUUUCACAUUAUGUUUAUAUUGAAUCCAAACCUAUUAUUGAAUUGUAGGUUGAACAAUUACAUAAUGAAGGUCAUAUAUCUGAACACCUUCUCACAUUAUCAUGUGUUCCAAAUUCAUUAGUUACAUGCUUCAAAUGAUAUAUUGUCAAUGGAUUUAGAUCCCACAUUAAAGAACGUGAUAAAAAAGUUUUUAAAAAAAGACUCAGAAUAAUGGAAUUGUUGUAGUUGCAAAAACGUCAAGCUUUACAAGUGCAUGUGAUAUGAGUCCAAUUAUUAGUGAUGCUCUCUACUAUGGUGUUCUAACUAAAGUUGUUGAGUUACAUUAUCUUGGUGAAAAUAAGGUUGUUUUAUUCGAGUUUGAUUGGUGGGAUGUUACAAAUAUUGGAAAAUUGAUAAAAGAUGAUGAGUACAAUUACACAUUUGUUAACUUUGCAUGAAUUCUAACCACGAACGAACGAUUUGUACUUGCAUCUCCAGCAAAGUAAGUGUUCUAUGUGAAGAAUGCGAAUGAAUCAGAUUGGCAUACUAUCAUGGAGAUGCAACCUCAAGACCUCUAUAAGAUGAACGGGAUAGGAUCCAAUGGUGAUUUUGAACCAUUUCAACAAAGUGAACUACAUGAUCACUAAUAUAUCUCAGAUUUAGUUGAUGAAGAUAUAAUCAAGUGGAACAAAAGUGAUGUUUUAGGACUAAUCAUCCUAAAAAAUAUUGUAGUUUCUUAAAAAAAAAAUGAAAAUGAAGAAGAUAAUUGAACCUUUGUCAUACUUUAAAAAGCAACUAUGCAUUGUUCAUUUUGUAUGUUUUGGUUUUCUUCAUUUAAUUUCCUGAUUUUUGUGAUUCAAUGUCAUAUUAUUGAUCUUGAAAUAUUUUUCUAAUUUUUCAUUCUACGAUGGUUUCAACAAGGAUGACAUCAAGUCAAAAAAGGAAAUGUGGUCCCACACACAAUAUUGCAUUACAGGGAUUAAGGUCAGGGAAGAAGGUAAAAGUUGCAUUUAAUGAGUACAAUCAAUUGGUUAAACAGAAAAAUGGAAAACACUUAUCGAGCUACAUAGGGACACUUGUAUCUAACCAACACAAUGUACCUCUCCAAGCUAGUGAUUGGAAAAAUGUUCCAAAUGAUGCAAAAGAGAAAGUAUGGCCUUUGUUUUGGUAUGUUGUAUUUCUCACUAUAUGAUGUCAUUUCACUGUUAUUCUAUUUUGUGACUAACGUUUGAAUCAUAUGUAAGAAAAAUUUGAAGUAGAUAAAGACUGAAAAGAUUACAUGUUGGGUAUAGCCUCAAAUAAAUAUAGAAGCUAUAAAAAUAUGAUGAAUGCAAAAUACUAUGACCCUUGGCAUAAGGAUGCAUGAGGAGAGGUUAAUACAUAAAUCACCAUUUGUCUCUGAUGUUGAUUGGAAGUGGCUUGUCUCUGAUGCAUAAACCAAAUCCCCCACUGAAUGUUUGAUAUUUGAUAGCAGGAAAAACACACCCGCAGCUAUACACCUCCAUCAUUCAGAUAAUUAUAGUGGGGGAGAUGAUUCAUGGUUGCCCUUAUACCCUUUAUUUGCACCAUCUAUUGAGAUUCUUUAUCAUGGCCAGGUUUUACUGCAGCAAUAAGAUAUGGUGGCAACAAUUUUAUCUAUAGGUGCGGUUCCAGACCGCCUCCAUAGGUGCGGUUCCUGACUGCCUCCAUAGGUGCCUCUUCUUGUAAUGUUUGUUCUGGGAAUUACACUUGAAAGCCUUAUCGUGAUAAGGGAUUACAAACACUAGUUCAGAGGACAGCCAUGUUAAACUUCCACUAUGUUUGUGUCACAUUAUCAGCAGCCUAGUGUUUAUUGGUCAUGCUAUCUGCAACUAAUAUAACCCGGUGAACUUCAAUCUAAAUUCUGAAAGUACUCAUGUGACAGAUGGUGCCUUUCAGCAGAUAUCAUCAAUUUAAAAGUAGUGUGUGUGCCUAUAGGUGGGAAGGCCUUGGCAAAUGUUCAGUAUUCCGGUAAUUCAAGAAGGAUAUAUCUAAAAUAGAUUUUCUUCUUGCCCAUUUCAAUAGUUAAAAUUUGAGAAGAUUGUGUCCACAUCACACAAAUAUUAUUGGUCCUUCUGUUGCAAUUUACCUCUGAACAUGUCUUCCAAUUCCCACGGUCCUGUUACUCCAGGAAAACUAUUUCGGUCAUAUUGAAAAAAAAAAUAUUAAAGAAGGUACACAUGCUUUUAAGUGGACUGGGGCAUUCAUAUCAGGUGGUCUGUAUCCACAUAUGCCACUUCGUGAAAGGUGGAACAGCCUAAUCACUAGGCUAUUUAGUGUGGCCCAGCCACGUUAAUCAAGCACAAGUCUUCAUACUUAAAGUCAAAUGGUGUCUUUAGUCUCAUUACACAUCGCUAUUUGAAGAUUAACUCAUCACUAGUGUAAUGCGAUUAAGACAGUCCUAACUCAAUAUUUGUUCUAGUUUUGGAUGCAAAUGCUUGCUGGUUUCAUCAUUGGAUGGGAUAAAGGUGCAAUCAGGACUAUGAAUACGUGCAGUAAUACUUCAUUCUCUUUUUUCUCAAUGAGACUUCUUGGCACAAUUUUGCUGCUCAGCAACCUACCUUUCCAUGGAAAAUCAGUUGUGACUGAUAGUAAUGGAUAUAUUCUAGAAAGCUAAACAUAGAUAGCAUUCAAUAUUAUCGAUAUAACAUUAACAGCGUAUGUCUCAAUGCUCAUCAGCUACAAGCAAUGGACAAACACUUUGAGUAACUCACAGCAGUCAAAAUUCCUAAACAGGACAGACGUGACAGAUCUAUAUAUAGAACACUGCAUAUGAGUCACAGGAAAAGAUAAUACGGGUACAUAGAAGCUCUUAUUUUACAUAUUACUCAUACUGAUCAAAGUCGCUCAGUUGGGAUGGAUGGGAGAAGGAGGUUUGAGGGGUGGCUUGUGCGGGGAAGUUGGCAGCUUCUUUCCGGGAGCUGGUUGCUUCUUUGCUGGAGUUGAAGGAGGCUUAAUCUUCCGAGGUGGCUUGUAUGAGUCUUCAGCAUUCUCAGCAGGAGGGUGACCAGGGUUGUGACCAUAAUGUGGUGGCUUCUCUCCCUUAGGUGGUUUGCCAACUGGGGUUGGUGGCUUGUUUUCUGGGAGUGGCUUCUCUCCCUUGGGUGGUUUGCCAACUGGGGUUGGUGGCUUGUGUUCUGGGAGUGGCUUCUCCCCCUUGGGAGGUUUUUCGAAUGGGGUGGGUUUGUGUCCUGGUGGUGGCUUCUCUCCCUUGGGAGGUUUACCAAUUGGGGUCGGUGGCUUGUGUUCUGGGAGGGGCUUCUCUCCCUGGGGAGGUUUAGUGGGUGGCUUGUGUUCUGGAGGUGGCUUCUCCACCGGAGGCUUAUGCUCUGGUGGUGGCUUCUCGAAGGGGGGAUGCUCAGGGUAAUCACCAAGUGAGGGGGUGGUGAGAACCACCAUGCCAAGCAACAACACUAGCAAGUAUGUAGUAGACAUCUUUGGGUUUGGACUCAGACAGUGCAAAACUACGAGAAAUCGCUAGCCCUUUAUAGCGGCUCGGACCUAAUACUGACAUAAUAUAAAAUAAAUAUUAUAUUUUAUCAAGAGAGAACAGAGUGUAAUUUUAUCAUUAAUACCGAUCGAGGCCAAAGAAAGAAGACCCAUAAUCCAUUUCCCACAAGCAUACACAAUGCAGCUGUAAUUUUAUCAUUUACUUUUAUCCCUUGGACCACUGCAUUUUUGUUGAGAGACACAAUAACACAUUUUUAUCUGUCAUUCAACAUUUACAGUAAAGAGAGGGCACAAAACGCAAUUAGAUAAAUUAUGUUUUGCCUGCUAAAAAGAGGCAAAUAACUUUAUUUGCAACAUAAUUAUUUUGGUUUCUAGUGACCCCGGGGCCUUUCGGUUGGUUUGGGAUCGGAAAAUGAACAUCAUAGGGGGGGUUGUGCCCUUAUGGGCAUAUAUAUCUGAUAGCUUCAACUGGCCUUGUUCCUAGAAAGAAAUUGCCAAAGAUAUAAACUUAUUCCAGGCUGAAAGUAGAUGAGAGUCAUAAUGAACAUCAACCUUUGUUCAGUUUGAUUCAAUGCCCCCAUAGUGUUCAUUUCACAGAUCUGAAUGAUUAUAUCCGUUGAAUACAUAAAUUAAUGAAGACAAAUAUGAAACCCAAGAUACAUCUCUGCAUAACAACCCCAACCCUGGUUGCUAUGUUUCCCUUCUUCUAUUCACAUGAGGAUACUGGUUAUAAUUGUCAAACUUGCAACAAGCCCUUUGACACCUAACGUCAAUGGACGAAUUAAAAGUCUCCUUCAAACGUCUAUUUCACAGCAUGAAGCUUAUAAAGGAUGCUGACAACCUUCAGAGUUAGCGACAAAAGAUAAUUAUCAAGGAGAGAUAGUUCCAUGAGAAUUCCAAGGAGUCUGAAUCAAAGACAAAUUGCUCACUCAAGGGUUCUUAUUUUCUUUUAGGUACAAAUCUCUUGAGUGUUGUUAAAGAAACACGUCACUGUCAUUUUGAUUUGCAUUUAACAUUUCACUUUUGUUCUGGAAGGUUUGUUCCGGAAACAUAUCAAAUGAGCAUCAUUUUCUUCUUCGGUGACACAUGGUCGCGAGUACGUGGGUCCAUUUUCAUGCCACUUAGUUGAAAAGUUGGAAAGAAAAAACAUGCCAACAAGAAGAUAGUGAGAGAAGGGGCACUUCAAGCCUUUAACAUGAACAAACAGUAAAUAAAAGAUGUUUCUCCACUCAUAAAAGUGUGUUAGAUAGCAAUAUAACGAAUCACAUCCAAAAUCUUUACUAGGCUCAAACAUAAAGAAGACUCAUUUUUAAGAAAAGAUAAAAAUGGCAUUGUCUGAUAGUAUCCAAUACACGAGAUGGCACUUAAUUUGUACAAGAUCUGUCAAUGCUGACGCACAUUUUCUGAUUAAAAAAAAACUGAUCAGUCAAAAGCAAUGAAGAGAAGUGAUGACAAUGAAUGAUGCUUCCAAUAUUUUCACCCCUUAUAGUGUUCUUCAUGAUUCAGAUAUAUAAUUGGAAAUAGAACAACCCUAUGCCAUACAUUCGUCUAAGUAUGGUGUCUAAUUUUUUGUGUCAGCGGUUGCGAAUGGAGCGUGCAAAAGUCCAAAUUGGCGUCUCUCCAUUUCCACAUAGGAAGGUGACCUUUAUUGACAAAUACCCAAUAUUUGUAGACAUUCCUUAAAUAUCAUAACUUCUUGUUGAUUUGAAAAUCAUUUUUCAACUACCAUGUUUUAAUAAAUAUUUUUUAAAAUGUAUUUUUAUCAAAGUCCACCAUGAUGGAUAAUAUUCACCAUGCAAUAAUUAAUAAAGUACAAACUAAGCGAAAUGAAAAGCAUUUUCUUUGCUUUGAGUUGAUUUUGGUUGCAUUGAGUUGAUUUUGGUUUCAUGGUUUUUUCAACUCUUAUUUUGAUUGGAAGAUGUCAAGAAAAGAAAACAUAAAGAAAAAUUAAAAGGGAAAAAAGAAGAAAAAUAAAAAAAAAUAGAUUUAAAAGUUAAUAAAUUAUUUUUUAUAUUUAUUUUAAUUCAUUUCACUUAUUUUUCUUUUACUAUAUAAAAUUUAAAUAAUUUAAAUUUUAUAAUUAAUUUAAUUACAUUUCAUUUUCUUCUAUAUUUAAAUAUUGGAAAAAUAUUUUACUUAAUAUUUUUUUCUUUAAUUUCUUUGGCAUUUUGGGAACCAAACUUAGCCUUUAAAAUAAAAAACAAAAAAAAAAUGAAAAUAAGGAGGGAAAAGUGAGAAAAGAUAAAAACAAUAUGUAAAGGAUUUGAAAAGUAUUAGUUUGUAAUUACUAUUUGGAUUUCAAUAGUAUUUUAUUUGUCUUUCUAUAUUUCAUGUAAGAGAGAAUUUAAGAUAUUCCCCAAGGCAAAGCAUUAGUUACCUGCAAUCAGUGGUGAUAAGGCUCCAAGCCAAUUUUGGGCCCCAUAUCUUAAGACAGUACAAUUUCCAUUUCAACAUUUCUGAUUUCUCAGAUGUUUCACAUACCACAGAAGAACAUUGUUUGUGAAAAUAUGCAUUUAUGUUGGAUUUUGUAUGCUGUGGGGACUGGGGCAAGGAUCAUAUGGAAGAGUGGUUGACUUUUUCUGUACUUUAACGGUUGAAAUAGGAUAAGCACGGGCAUUUGUGAGGCUUAAUUGAUUUUGAAGCCUGAAAUUGCGUUUCUGUCAUUUUGUCAAAAAAAUGGCAGAUUCCAUACUCAUAUGUUUGGCCUGUGGCCAUGUACAGAUGCCAUUUAGUGACCAGUUUGUAACUGUCAAUCGUUGCGUUUUGACUCUGCCUCAACAACAUCUGCCAUUGACGGGUUUUCAUACUUGCAAAUCAAAUAGUCUUUCGUCCCAUCAGGAAUUUCGGUUUAAAUAUUAUUAAGCAUACGUUUGGCUGACAAUCAUUAUCCAGUUCAUGAUUUGGUUUCUUACCCUUAAUCAAUGGUUUCUAAGUGAAUAUAUGUAGAAGGAAAUCCGAAGUGUAGACAGUAGUAUCGAUAACUCUCAAUAUUCUCUAUAUAAUAGAAUAAACAGCGUCAUAGUGAUCGUCGCCUACAAGCAAGGUACAAAUACCAAAACGAGUGACUCACAUAGACAUCUCCCAACAAGAUGUAGUAGUGACUGACACAUGGACACAAUUAACUCGUAGAAAAGGAUAAGACCAUUGCACAGCAGCUCUUAUUUUACAUACUACUUAUGCUAACCAAAGUCAAUUAGUUGGGAUGGGUGGGAGAUGGAGGUUUGUGCGGUGGCUUGUGGGGCGGAGUUGAUGGCUUCUUUCCAGGAGCUUCUGGCUUUUUCAUCGGAGCUGAAGGAGGCUCAAUCUUAUGAGGCGGCUUGUAUGAGUCUUCUUUACUCUCGACAGGAGGGUGGCCAGGGUUGUGAUCAUAAUGUGGUGGCUUCUCUCCCUUAGGUGGCUUGCCAACUGGGGUUGGUGGCUUGUGUUCAGGAAGUGGUUUCUCUCCCAUGGGAGGUUUAGCAAUUGGGGUUGGUGGCUUGUGUUCUGGGAGUGGCUUCUCUCCCUUGGGAGGUUUAGUAGGUGACUUGUGUUCUGGAGGUGGCUUCUCCACCGGAGGCUUGUGCUCCGGUGGUGGCUUCUUGGUUGGAGGGGGCUUGGGGUAAUCAGCAAGAGAUGGGGUGGUGAGAACCACCAGUCCAAGGAACAACACUAGCAAGUAUGUGGGAGACAUUUUUGAGUUUGGGCUGAUCAGAUGAUGCAAAACUAAAGCAUUACGUGACCUUUUAUAGCAUGUAGCUCCCAAUACCCACUAAGUAUUGUGGGGUCCAUUUGUGCCCUACGGGGUUGAAAACUUAGACAAUUGGGCAAGGACCCACCUGACUAUGGAGGACUAGUGAGGUGUGAUCAUAGCUUUAGGAUUUUUCUUCCUCUGCAGCCGUCGUGCCGUUGGCAUGAUUUUCUUAAUCUUAAAUAAAGGCAUAGUUAUAGAGUUGUUUAAUCUCUAAAUGGGAUUUUAUAUAUAUCUUCAGAUAGCCAUUAAUAUAUUUGAUGAAGAAAGAAAGACAAGUGCAUACAACAUGUAUACGACUAGCUUUCAUGGAGUUCAUUUAUGAUCAGUUUUCCUGUACAUGUAAACCAGGAUCAUAUAUAUGUUUCUGUUCCACAACUAUUUUGGAAUCUUGUUUAUCAGUUUUUAUCAUUAUAAUGUCACAUAGGCUGCCAACUUGGGCGCUAAAAGAACCAGUUGGGCUAGUUCGUUUCAGAAUUUCAAUGUGGAUUCAGGAAUUGUUUUGUAAGAUAUGCGAAAUAGUAGAGGGAUGAAUAGUGUUUCAUUAAUAAAAGUGUCCUGUAAAUUAGAAGGUGUCAUAGAAACUAUAAUCAAUAAAUAACUUUUUUUCCCCACGGGUGGUGUUUCUUGUGGGGAUCAGUGACUGGUUUAGGUUCACCCAAAAUGAGUUCAGACUAAAAUUGGUUUGAGUCAAUGCCGUGUCUCUUUUUUCCAGAAAUCAACUAUUUUAUGCAUUGAAUAAAUCAUACAAAGAAAAUAUGAACGCCCGCAAAACCUAAACCCUGGUUGCUAACUUUCUAUGUUUCAGUUCUAUUCACGCAAGAAUAUUAGUUUAAGUUUGGGAAAAAUGGCAACUUACCUAGUGAUUACUUGGUUUUGGUUUGCGACUAUUUACGCAACCAACCAUGAGUUUGACUUUAACGUCAUGGGUUGAAGCCUCCUACAGGAAGGGAGAAAGCUCCACAGCUAGCUCCAAAAGAGAAUUAUCACAUUGAUAGCUCCAGAGAUUCCCAAGGGGACUGAAUCAAAGACAAGUUCCUCACUUUUUCUUCUUUUGAGGCCAAAUAUGAACCAAGGAUCACACAACCUCAUUCAACUUCAUAAGUUUGAUUUCAUGCAGUUGAACACUGGGUGAAGGCCAUGACAAGAAUUGAUUCAAAAAUUCUAUCACUCUUUUAAGUAAUGGAAGAUUAUUAUCUCUGAUUGGCAUCACAACAGCACAUGCUCCUAGAUCUUUCUAGACACUCCAUGCAAUGAAAGCACAAUGGAUCUUGUAACGAUAGAAACUAAGCCAUGCUACAGUACUAGAUGAUGAGGUAAAACUAGUAGACACGGGUGGCAGCCUAUAUGGGAGGGACACAAGUCUAAUUGAUUUGCAUUUCAGCAUUAUAGAUAGGUAUGUUUUGGAAGAUUUGUUCUGGAAAUACCGCACCAAGUAGGAUUCUUUUUCUCUUUAGUGGGUCCACUUGCAUGCCAAUUAACGAGUUGAAAAGUAUGAGCACCUACCUCGUGCUCGUGGAACCGAAGGUCAGUGAAGUGGGGCUCCUUUUGGCCUCGUGUAAACUUGAUUCAGAAGUGAAGUUAAUAGUCUUCCAUUCAGAUGGAUACAUGGGAAUUUUUCUCUUUUAUUUAUUUAUUUAUUUUUUUUUUGUGUGUGUAUGUCAAAGGAUAAUGAAUGAAGCGCGUUAGCUUGUUUUCUGACUGGAACCGCAGAUGUCCAAAUUGGAGUUCCUUCAUUUCUUACUUAGGAUUGUUACAUGUAUAAACAAGGUAUAAGAAAUAUGCCAACGUGUCUUGAGGAGUUAUUGAUUAGAAAUAACAAGUCACCCGACUGUAGAGUUCCAAGAUUUGAAUCUUCAGACCCUAUAGCAGCCUCUGGGGUACGUGGCAUCCUAUAGCAUAUUAAUGAAGGCUUUUUCGAUUUAGACUUCACAAUACCAAUUAAUAUGUAUGCACAAAAUGGAGAUGACCCCAAAAAAAACAGAAUCGCCAUAGUUUAUGAGGUUAAGGUGAUUCUCCACUUAAUAUCUACAUUAGCUAAUUAUGUAAAUCAAAUGAACUUCUAUUUUUCCUUUUUUUUUUUGGUUUAUGUCAAAUAGUAGCCCAUAAUUAACCCAACCAUUAGCCUGUUUGAAUUGAUUUCACAUGCACAAUGUUGUAGUAGUUCAUAUUUUGAAUUUUAUUUUUACAAAGGUAGUUAAGGAAAAUGAAGUAUAAUAAUUAUAAAAGCAGACUAUAUACACUACAAUAAUUGUUAGAAUGGUAUCUCAAAUUCUAAUUUAAAAUAUUAUUUUUUGUAAAAGAAAUAUUAUAUAGAAUAUUUCCUAAUUUUAUAAAUGAUUAUAAUUAGAUCUUUAUAAAAUAAGGAAAGUUGGUAAGAAUAUCUUUAUAAAUAUUUUAGGUCAUGAGAGAAAGAAAUGGGAUAAAAAUGUGAUGAAGAGGUGAAAUAAGAGAGUUGAUUAGGAUAUAGAUGUGAAGAAGAAAGGGAUUCAAUAUAUAUAUAUCUUUCAAUUACCACAUUAAAACCCUGUGAACCUUUUAUAUGGUUUACUUUAUUUUUAUAUUCCUCCUUUAAUAUAUUUACAUUAAUGCUUCCAUUGGCACAACAAUAACGAAUUACAAAUACAAGCAACAAGUCCCAUGUUUUAUUACCAAAAGCAGGUAAAAUCCACCUAAUAUAUUACAAUAUAUUCAUCCAAUAUUUUAGACCAAUUCUUCACCAUAAAUAUCAUAAUGUGGCUUUUGUUCUUUCUUAAAUUUAAAUUGAAUUGUCUUAUAUCAAUUUGUUUGUGAUUUUUUCAUUAACUUCACUUUCAUUUGGUUAUCUUUGGUUUUUGAAAAGUAUUAAGGAAUUAAUUAACAAAAUAAUGUUAAGAAAAAUAAUUUUCUCUCUUUUGAUUUUGAUUUUGUAGUAGAAAAAUAUAAUUAAAAUUAUUUAAAAAGUAUGUAAUUUUAAAUUAUUUAAUAUUUAGAUAAAAAAAAUAAGUCUAAUGAGUUUAAAAUAACAUAUAAAAAUAAUUUAUUUAUUUUAAAUUUAUUUUUUAUUUUCCAUUAUGUUCUCUUUCUCUUUUACUUUUUCAUAUUUUUUCUUACGAAGAAUCAAACACAACCUCAUAUUAUAUGUCAAGUGUUUGUCUAUAUUUGAGCAAUGUUAGAUACGGCCAUGGAUUCAUCAAACUAAACUGAUUUUAAUAGAUACUUCACAAAUUGAUUUAUACACUAAAUCAUUGGAUAGCAAUGAUGCAUUGGAAUUAAACGUAGGAUGAAGCUCGAAGAACACUGUUUGUGUAACAACAUAUUUAUGAAAUUAUGCAAAGGAUGAGCUUCGGGGUAGUAGUACAAGGUCAUUAAUGGAGAGCCGUGUUAAACCUUGAUUGUGAUUGGAUUCCGUUAUCAGCAACAGCAACCUUGUUUGUAACCUUGAAAGUCAUUCUGUCCACAUCGAAACUCCAAUUUGACGUUUGUAAUUACCAUUCCUGGAGUGUUCCUUGAUUGAAAUUUAAAUAAUAAUUGCGGCCCACAAGGAAUAUUUUCGAUUCUGUGGGAAUUUGACAAGGUUUGUUAGAGAAGACUGGUGACAUGUUGACUUCAAUGGUUCAAAUAGGAGACGUAUGUGGAUUUGGGGGGUUUAAUUGAAACUGAGUCCCUAUGGCUUUUUAAUAUUUGCAUUGAGCAGUCUCCAUGUGACUUCCUAAUUCCCACCAACCCUCCUGUCCAUGCUGUGAAACUAAAUUGUAAUUUAUCAGCCUUUGUCAAUGGUUUCUAAAUUAAAGAUAUAGACCAUGCAUGUACUUUAAUAAAAGCAAAUCUAAAGUGUAGAUAGCAGCAAUGGUGACACCCAAUAUUCUCCAUAAAAUAGAAUUAGAAUAAGCAGUGUUACAUUGUUCAUGAUCACCUACAAGCAUACAAGAACUUCCAUGAAUAACUCAUAGCAAUUGCCAACAGGGCGUCGUAGAGACUCAUACAUAGAACACUAUCCACCCAGAGGAAAGGACAAGACCAGUGCGCUGCAGCUCUUAUUUUUCACAUGUAUACCACCACUCGUAAUAACCAAAUUCACUCAGUUGGGAUAGGUGGGAGAUGGUGGUUUGUGGGGUGGCUUGUGGGGAGGAGUUGGAGGAGGCUUUAUUUUCUGAGGCGGCUUGUAUGAGUGUGCAGGAGGAUGCCCGGGAGUGUGACCAUAAUGUGGUGGCUUCUCUCCCGUAGGUGGUUUGCCAAAUGGGCUUGGUGGCUUCUCUCCCUUAGGAGGUUUACCAAUUGGGGUUGGUGGCUUGUGUUCUGGGAGUGGUUUCUCUCCCUUGGUAGGUUUGCCAAUUGGGGUUGGCGGCUUAUGUUCUGGGAGUGGCUUCUCUCCCUUGGGAGGUUUGCUAAUUGGGGUUGGCGGCUUAUGUUCUGGGGGCGGCUUCUCUCCCUUGGGAGGUUUGCCAAUUGGAGUUGGCGGCUUAUGUUCUGGGAGUGGCUUUUCUCCCUUGGGAGGCUUGCCAAUUGGGGUUGGCGGCUUAUGUUCUGGGGGUGGCUUCUCUCCUUUAGGAGGUUUGCCAAUUGGAGUCGGCGGCUUAUGUUCUGGAAGUGGCUUUUUUCCCUUGGGAGGUUUGCCAAUUGGGGUUGGCGGCUUAUGUUCUGGGGGUGGCUUCUCUCCCUUGGGAGGUUUGCCAAUUGGAGUCGGCGGCUUAUGUUCUGGGAGUGGCUUCUCUCCCUUGGGAGGUUUUGUUGGUGGCUUGUGUUCUGGAGAUGGCUUCUCCCCUGGAGGCUUGUGCUCCGGAGGUGGCUUCUGAAAUGGCGGGGGCUUGGGGUAAUGAGCAAGAGAUGGAGUACUGGUGAGAACCACCAUUCCAAGCAACAAUACUAGCAAGCAUGUGGGAGACAUCUUUGAGUAGUUGUAGCUAAGAUGGCGCAACACUGUAGGCAUUGGGUGGCCUUUUAUAAAGGGCUGGACCCAACAGCCAUAUGACACGUGUCAUGAUGACAAAUGAAGUUGAGGGGAUCCAGAUGGGUCCUACUGAGUCGAAAACUUGCACUAAUUGAUCUGGUGAGAUGACUAUUUCUGUCCUUUUGCCCUUCUCGGCCACCCUGUGCUGUUUUCCUUUUGCACGAUUUUCGUUGCCAAACAAGCAAAUAAUAUUUCGCCAAGAAAGAGGAGAGUGAAUGUGGAAUGCAUCAAGUCCCAUCAAGGAUGGCAGAGAAGAAAUAGAAGAUUGCCCAACUGUGAUAAACAUAGCAUACACGUAGCACCAGGAACUUCAUUUACUUCCAUCUAAUGGAACAUAACAAUCUUCUAAAGUUUUUGCAUGAUUUUGUUAUAUGUCUCUUAGCCUAAAGUUGGAAAUGCGCAACAAAUUUUGUCACUUCUCUAUUUCCCACUGAUGAUGUUAAUUAGCCUUCAUAGAUAUCAUCCUUUCUACAAAGUGCUUCAUUUGUGUGUUAUUGUAAAGUGUAAGAAAAGUAAUUGAACAUGUUCUUUUUCCUUUCAUAGAUGACUUUUGAUGUGCAUUUUAAAAGCAGCGCUGUGAGUCGGUGACCUUGAUUCACACGGAAACUAAGGCUCCUAUAGGACCCACUUUUAGCUGGUUAGGGGUGAAGAAAAUAUCAACUUUUCAGAGUGAUUUAAGUCAAGGCCAAGCCUCACUGUGUCAUUACUCGUGUGAAUUUUAUAUGCACAUACAUACAUAAAUAAAGUAUGAGACCCAAAUAACACCUUCCCUUUACAAACUUAACCCCAGCCGCUCUCUUUCAAUUCUUUUCACACAAGGGUAUUGACUCUAUAAAGGUCAAGAAAAUCAUAAUUUCCUAGGGUUUACAAGGUAAUUGGCUUAAUGCUAAUGUGAAAACAUAAAAGAUAAUAGUAUAUUGUAAGCUAACGAAUAUUCUAUAGUUAUAAUUAUUUGUGAUGUGCAUAAAUAAAUCUUCAUAUAUAUAAUGGAACAAUGAAUAAAGAACCAAUGAAAAAAUACUAUAUAUCAUUGCUUGGCAUUUAAACCGUAUAUGCUGCUCUUUCUAGCUACUCCAUCCACUGAAAGACAACAAGGUAAUCCAUGUUAUAAUGAUAGAAGAUACUGUCUCUAGGCUUUUUGUGAUGAAAAAUAUAAGAUAUGGGUAGGGUUGACCCUUGUAUGUUUGUCCUAUAAACACUUCAAAGUAACAUAUUUUUCUUCUUUAGCAACUCAUAAUGAUGGGGUUCAUUUGCAUGUCACUGAGUUGAAAAGUUGGACAAUUGCCCAUGUCGCCUUCCUCCUAGAUUCCGUAGUUCACGGGAAGGUAACUCAAGUUUGACAUAUUUUGAAUUCUUUUCACUCGGACGUCUUCAUAACCUGACAAAACAAAAAUGAAAAACAGAGGAUUGGUAUAUUAUUCAUGGUAAGCCUCAAAUUAUAGUAGUAUGAGAAAGGAGAAAAAGAUUUUGGGAACUCCAAUCUGGAUAAUUCUCGUUUCUUCUCUUGAAUAAAAAUUUCACUUACCUAACUUCGUUUGGAGAAAUGGCAUAUUUUAAUUUUGUACGUCAUUGCUAAUAAAUGGAGCAAUUUAGCAUGUUUUGUGACUGAAACUGCAAAUGUCCAAUUGGCAUUUCUUCAUUUCCCACUUAGGAUCUGAUCUUGUAGACCAUAUAACGAUAUGUAUCUGUGCAAGCAUUGAAAACUAAUGUGAACUAUGAGGAGUUACAAGCCACUGGACUGUAGAGCGAGUGCCAAGAUUUAAAUCUUCAGGCUCUAUCUGGGUAAGGGGAGGAUAGCGACCUAACCUUUUACCAAAGGCUUAGAAUUUAGACUUUUGGAAAAAAAUUUCUCAUGUUUUGGCUGGAUUUCUUGUGCUUGGCGCAAAAAGGAGAUGGCCUCAAGAAAUAGCAGACUCACUUUUGUUUUCAGCCCUUAAUAAUUCUCCACUGCUUUCCAUAACUACAUGGGUUAUACAUGCAGUCUGCUGCAAUAUUCCAGUUAUAUUUAUUAUUUCAAAGAGGGUGAAUGACUUCACAUGCAAUAUGUUGCAGUAACAACCCAAAUUUUGGCACACCAUCUUAAGAAUAGAAAAGUAUAAUAAAAGAAAUCAAUCAGAGAAUCACUUUGCAUGCAGUUCAUAGAGUUCGCCCAAAAUGGAGCCACAUGUACGGACAACCCCACAAUAGACAAUCUUCUCUAUACAGUAAUAAAAUACAGAAAUGGUUAAUGAAGCUCUGUAUUUCCUUAUCAUAUAUGACCGGUUGAAAACUCAGCAAGUCUUCCUCAAUCACAGACAGUUGGAGUUGCUUCAUCAAAAUCAUGCCUUCAUUACUGGCUUCAUUUUGGUUUCAAUGUCUGUUCUACCCUUAAAUUGGGUCUCUGCUUACUACCGGGAUAUCCUUUAGCGUCCUGCAAUUCUACUAGAUUAAAGAGAAUGACUUAAUUCUGCAUUCUGCCGUCCCUAGUCCAAGUGGUACUAGAAUUGAUGUUUCCUUUAGUGUCCUUUCUUCAUACUUUCAGGUUCUUCCCUUGUUUCAAUAAUGCUGUUUUCCUUCAUGUUUAACCUCUGUUGAACCACUUAAAACAACACAAUUUGCACACCAAUGUUUCUUUACAGAAAAGACUGUUUGCAAAAAUGCACAUGUUAUAAGGUUAAUGGAAGAAUUAAUUUGGGGAUAAGGGACUAGGAUUGGGCCAAUGAAGUUUGGUGUUAAAUUUUGAUUAUGAUUGCUUUUCAUUAUCAGGUACCUUAUAUUUGCUGAUGCUAUCUGGAACUAAAUUCAAAUCAGACAUUAUCCGAUUACUAACAGGACAUAUCAUGUCCCUCUGCAGAGUUUCUAAACUAACAUGUAUCGAAAUGUGGCCCCAAAAGGAAGGCUAGGAAGAUGGAGGAUUUUGUAGGAAUCGACCAGAAUCAGAUGGAAGAGAGAUAGUCCUGUUGACUUUAAUGGUUGUGAUAGGAACAUGCAUCAUUAUAUGAGAAGUUGCAUGAAUUUAUGUAUCCUGUUAUCGUUCCUUGACGAUUUCCCAAUGCAAUUUCACUGUCCACAAGACUAACCUCUCCAUGCAGUCAAAUGAAUUGUAAUUUCUCUAUUGGUACCAGUAGUACAUUUCAUACCAAACAUAUAGUAAAUAUAAAAUAUAAAUAGAUCAAGGAAAUCUGAAUUGUAGAUAGCACUGCAAGUAACACUCAAUAUUCUCUAUAUAUAAUAAAAUAAACAGUGUCACAAUACUCAUCACCCAGUGGCAAGGGAGAAAAACCUACAAUGAGUACUCAAAUCACCAUUCUCAAACAGAAACAUAGCAGUGACUGAUACAUAGAACCUAUAUGCUCACAGGGAAAGAAUAAGAUGACCAGUGCACAGCGGGCAGCAGCUCUUAUUUUACGUACAACUCAAAUCCCAAACUAACCAAAGUCGCUCAGUUGGGAUGGGUGGGAGAUGGUGGUUUGUGGGAUGGCUUCUGGGUAGGAGCUGGUGGCUUCUGUCCCUUUGGUGGUUUGCCUAAUGAGCUUGGUGGCUUGUGCUCCGGGAGUUGUUUCUCUCCCUCGAGUAGGUUUCGAGUCUUGUCAGAUGGCUUGUGUUCUGGUGGUGGCUUCUCUCCCUGGGGUGGUUUGCCGAAUGGGCUUGGUGGCUUGUGUUCGGGGAGUGGCUUCUCUCCCUGGAGAAGGUUACGAGUUUUGUCAUAUGGCUUUUGUUCUGGUGGUGGCUUCUCUCCCUGGGGUGGUUUGCCGAAUGGGCUUGGUGGCUUGUGUUCGGGGAGUGGCUUCUCUCCCUGGAGAAGGUUACGAGUUUUGUCAGAUGGCUUGUGUUCUGGUGGUGGCUUCUCUCCCUGGGGUGGUUUGCCGAAUGGGCUUGGUGGCUUGUGUUCGGGGAGUGGCUUCUCUCCCUGGAGAAGGUUACGAGUUUUGUCAGAUGGCUUUUGUUCUGGUGGCGGCUUCUCUCCCUGGGGUGGUUUGCCAAAUGGGCUUGGUGGCUUGUGUUCGGGAACUGGCUUCUCUCCCUUGGGAGGUUCAGUUGGUGGCUGCUGUUCCGUAGGUGGUUUCUUCACCGGCGGCUUGUGCUCCGGAAGCGGCUUCUCUACCUGGAGAAGCUUACGAGUUUUGUCCGAUGGCUUGUGUUGUGGUGGUGGCUUCUCUCCCUGGGGUGGUUUGCCAAAUGGAGUUGGUGGCUUGUGUUCGGGGAGUGGCUUCUCUCCAUUGGGAGGUUUAGUUGGUGAUUGGUGUUCCGUAGGUGGUUUCUGAAGUGGGGGAUGCUUGGGGUAGUCAGCAAGAGACGAGGUAGUGAGAACCACCAGUCCCAGCAGCAACACUAGCAAGCAUGUGGAAGACAUCUUUGAGUUCAGGCUGAGAUCUGUGCAAGGAUAACAGAAUUAGGUGGCCUUUUAUAGAGGCCUGGACCCAACACCCAUAUGACACGUGUCAUGCACUCAUGGUGACACAUAAUUCUAUGGGACCAUUUGGGUCCUACAGAAGUUGCAAAGUUGGACUACUGAGGUGUGAUCACAACUUUUGUCCUUAUUGCUUUCUCUGCGGCCAUUGCACGAUUUCCUUUAGCAUCAUUUUCUUGGCUAAAUAAGCGUAUUAUAUUUGUGGCAGACCGUCCACGUGUCAUAAACAGAUAUAUUAUAAUAAUGUAGUAUGCUUUUCUCCAAUGGAACAUGACACUCUUCUAAGUCUUGUUUUAAAUAUUGUGCAGGAUUACUUUAUACGUUGCAGUUCCAAGUCAAAAUUGGUGGGCAAACGUUGGCCUUUUUUCAUUUCACCUAAGAUUAAUGCUCACCUGGGAUAGGCACUACAUGACUUAUCUGCUCUUUUACUGUAAAGUUGCUUUGUGUAUGAGAUACACCUCCCCUGCACACCCUCAACAUUCGUUGCUCUGUUUUCCUUGUGUCCAGACGAGGAUAUUAAUUGGAGGCUGACAAAACGACUGCUAGCCCAGGAUUUACAAGGUCCUGGUUUGAGGCUUCGGUGAAAGUAUUUUUGAAAAGACACACAUAGAGAUAGUGCGUUUGGUGCAAUGCAGCACUGUGAGCCAUUCUGACGCGUUCUUAAUUUCAAAACUAAUGAAUGCUUCAAAAUUUUAAGAAGUGACAUUUCCAAAUAUUUGAGUUCGUUUAAUUGAACAUUGGAUAACUAGUGAUCAUAGAUUAUUAUCUGUGCUUGGCACUAUAAGAGGGUAUAUGCUUCUUUUUCUGGCCCCUCCUUCAAGGGAGGAGGGACAAUGUGAUCUGUAACGUUAGAAGCUAUUCCAUGUCAUCUUUGGGCUCAGUUCAAAACUAAAAGAUAAUGGGGGGGGGGGGGGGGGGCAUAUCAUUUUAUAUUUCUUCUAGAAGGUUUGUUCUGGAAAUAUUUCACAGGAGCAUAUCUUUUUCUUCUAUUACGUCAUCCGCAGCCUCCAAUAGGUCGGUUAACAAGCCACCGAGUUGAAAAGUUGGAAAAAUGGGAACACAGCCCGCCUCUUGUAUUCAGUAGUUAAAUAAAAGGUCACUAGAAGUGAGAUCCCUUUUGGCGUCUUGAUUUUCAAUCCAGCACCUCUGUGACCUGACAAACCAAAAAAACUAAAAAAUAAAAAACAGUACGUGGGUUGGUGUUAAGCAUCAAGACAUGUUAAUGAAAGAAGGUAGAGAAUAGGAUAUUGAAAUCCCAAUCCUGAUAACAUGAUUUUCUUUGCUAACAACCAUAUUAUAUUUUAUCAAGAAAGAGUAAUGCAUGUGGCGUCCAUCAAGACCCAUUAGAGUUCCGCUAAAGCUAUAGUUCUGUCAACGUUAUCAUUUACGUUUCCUCUAGAUAAUGGCAUUUUCCUCUAAAGCUCUUGCACCAUUAGGCUUCAAGUCAAAAUUUCACAUGUGAACUUUGGAAAUUUUCUCCAUUUGCCCCUAAGGAUACAGUUAGAAUUGACUUAAAAUCCUGAUUGAUAUGUACUAUUAACCAAAGAAUAUUGUAUAUAAUAAUUGAAAUAUUGUUGAUUCAUCGUGGAAAUACAUUUUGUAAGGAAAGUUGUUGAGAAUUUAGUAUGCUAUAUGGAGAAAAAAGUCAUGACUUAAGGUUGUGUAUGUAUAUUCUAUAUCAAAUAUUAGGUAGGAAUGUGGGAAAGAGCAGAGUGUAAUGAUAAGAAACAAAGAAAUAUAAGAUAUUCUUGAAAGUGGAAAAUAUAAAAUGGCUAACGAGUCAAAUUUAUGAUGCGUAAGGGGGAUCAUGUCACAUAAGAAAACCAUGGCAUACUAAAGACGUACGUGUGGUAUGGAGUAAUAAUUUUGUUAAAAUAAGUUUCUUGUUGGAGUACAUUAGGUGACUAUUCAUAACGUAUCAAAUUAAAGAGUCAAGUGCAUCAAUGAAGGCAUAUGUAGAAAAUUUGUUUGUGACAUGUACCAUAAAGAUAAGAUUGACUUGAUAGAAUUUAGUCUAAGUAGGAGUUGUUAAAGGUGUCUUAAAUUUCUAAUUGAUGUAUAUUUUUUUCUAAAAAAAUAUUAUAUAGAUAUUUUAAUAAAUGAUUAAUUCUUUGUAAAAAUACUUACAUAAUAAAAAACAUCAUUAAAAAUAUCUUUAUAAAUAUUUUAAGUUACAAGAAGGAAAAAAACCACUGUGAGAUAAUGAUGAACAUGCAACACUGUACCAAGUAAAUAAAAAUGUGAUAAAAAAAAAAGAGAAACACUCGAUAAAGGAAGGCUCGUAUAUAAAGAGUAAUAUUUUUAAUCAUAUGAUAGAAUGAUUUUCUCUCAUUCAUGAAUAUAGGCAAGAUUGGGGAACCAUUAUAAAAUUUUGUACACCUCGUGUAAAUUGAUGUUUGUCUUCAUAUUUUACACCAACAAAUGACAUUGAAGUUGUCAUUGAUAAAAGGGAAAAGGCAUGCCUCCACACCAUGUGCUUGAUUCGAAUGGUUCAAGUUUGAAGAAUUUUCUCCGGAAGAUCUAAAACAUUUUCGCCUUUAAAUUUCAUUUGAUUAUUAAUAUCCGAAAAAAUAGUUAAAUACUCUUUCUAUUUUUGAGUUGUUGAAUUUUUUGAAAGUUUUUAUAUUUGUUAUCAAGAAUUUCUAUUUUAUUAAGGGUGAAUAUUUAUAAAUAAGAUAUUAUAUAAUAUUUGGAUAAGAGAGAAUGGUGGAAUAUAAUAAAGUUUUAAUCCUUCCCAAUUUUGAACCUUUUUUUUUUUUUUUGAUAUAAUCGCCUUUCUCUUGCAAUCCUAUUAUCAGGUACCUUAUAUUUGCUGAUGCUAUCUGGAACUAAAUUCCAAUCAGGCAUUGUCCAAUUACUAAUAGGACAGAUCAUAUCUCUCUGUUUCUAAACUAACAUGUAUCGUAAUGUGACCUCAUAAGGAAGGCUAGGAAGAUGGAGGAUUUUGUGGGAAGCGACCAGAAUCAGAUGGAAGAGAGAUAGCCCUGUUGACCUAAUGGCUGUAAUAGGAGAAGCGUGUGGUUUUAUGGGACUUAACUGAUACUAAACCUGUAUGAUGCUUGGAGUGGUGUUUCUUUCAUUUUGUUAAGAAAAUAUGGCAGCAUACAUGCUUUCAACUGAGUGCAUCAGAGCAUCCAUAACAGAUGGUCUGCAACCCUAGGUGCAUGCCACUUUCUGACUGAUAAUGAAAUUGUCAGGUACCUGGCCUUGACUAAGCUCAACAGCAUCACAUAAAGAGAAGCUUUCAUACUUAGAUUACUGUUUAAAGUUUUUGCUUAUUUGAUUUCUUAAUGCCAUUAUGACAUUAUUGAUUCAAUUCUGCUUCCGAUUUUCGAAGUUCUGGGCAUCUACUGAUUGCAUCAUUAUAUGAGAAGUUGCAUGAGUUUAUGUAUCCUGUUAUUGUUCCUUUGCGAUUUCACUGCUCACGGGACUAACCUCUCCAUUCAGUCGAAAUGAAUUGUAAUUUCUUUACUGGUAGCAGUAGUACUUUUCAUAGCAAAGAUAAUAGAAAAUAUGAAAUAUAAAUAGAAGGAAAUCUGGAUUGUAGAUAGCACCAUAAGUAACACUCAAUAUUCACUACAUAAUAAAUAGACAGUGUUACAUAGGUAGAGAAACCUACAAUGAGUACUCAUCACCAUUCUCAAACAGAAACAUAGCAGCGACUUAUACAUAGAACCUAUAGGCUCGCAGGGAAAGAGUAACAUGAUAAGUUCACAGCGGGUAGCAGCUCUUAUUUUACGUAUUACUCAAAAUCUCAAACUAACCAAAGUCACUCAGUUGGGAUGGGUAGGAGAUGGUGGUUUGUGGGGUGGCUUCUGGGUAGGAGCUGGUGGCUUCUUUGUUGGAGUUGAAGGAGGCAUAUUCUUCUGAGGUGGCUUGUAUGACUCUUCGGCACUCUCUGCAGGAGGGUGCCCAGGGUUGUGACCAGAAGGAGGUGGCUUCUGUCCCUUUGGUGGUUUGCCUAAUGGGCUUGGUGGCUUGUGCUCCGGGAGUUGUUUCUCUCCCUCGAGUAGGUUUCGAGUUUUGUCAGAUGGCUUGUGUUCUGGUGGUGGCUUCUCUCCCUGGGGUGGUUUGCCGAAUGGGCUUGGUGGCUUGUGUUCGGGGAGUGGCUUCUCUCCCUGGAGAAGGUUACGAGUUUUGUCAGAUGGCUUUUGUUCUGGUGGCGGCUUCUCUCCCUGGGGUGGUUUGCCAAAUGGGCUUGGUGGCUUGUGUUCGGGAACUGGCUUCUCUCCCUUGGGAGGUUCAUUUGGUGGCUGGUGUUCCGUAGGUGGUUCCUUCACCGGCGGCUUGUGCUCCGGAAGCGGCUUCUCUACCUGGAGAAGCUUACGAGUUUUGUCAGAUGGCUUGUGUUGUGGUGGUGGCUUCUCUCCCGGGGGUGGUUUGCCAAAUGGACUUGGUGGCUUGUGUUCGGGGAGUGGCUUCUCUCCAUGGGGAGGUUUAGUUGGUGGUUGGUGUUGCGUAGGUGGUUUCUGAAGUGGGGGAUGCUUGGGGUAGUCAGCAAUAGACGAGGUAGUGAGAACCACCAGUCCCAACAGCAACACUAGCAAGGAUGUUGAAGACAUCUUUGAGUUCAGGCUGAGAUCUGUGCAAGGAUAAAAGAUUUAGGUGGCCUUUUAUAGAGGGCUGGACCCAACACCCAUAUGACACGUGUCAUGCACUCAUGGUGACACAUAAUUCUAUGGGACCAUUUGGGUCCUACAGAAGUUGCAAAGUUGGACUAUUGAGGUGUGAUCACAACUUUUGUCCUACUUGCUUUCUCUGCGGCCAUUGCACGAUUUCCUUUAGCAUCAUUUUCUUGUCUAAAUAAGCGUAUUAUAUUUGUGGCAGACCGUCCACGUGUCAUAAACAGAUAUAUUAUAAUAAUGUAGUAUGCUUUUCUUCAACGGAACUUGACACUCUUCUAAGUCUUGUUUUAAAUACUGUGCAGGAUUACGUCAUAAGUUGCUUGUUCCAAGUCAAAAUUGGUGGGCAAACGUUGGCCUUUUUUCAUUUUCCCUAAUAUUAAUGCUCACCUGGGAUAGGCACUACAUGAUUUAUCUGCUCUUUUACUGUGAAGUUGCUUUGUGCAUGAGUUACACCUCCCCUGCACACCCUCAACAUUUGUUGCUCUGUUUUUCUUGUGUCCAGACGAGGAUAUUAAUUGGAGGCUGACAAAACGACUGCUAGCCAAGGAUUUACAAGGUCCUGGUUUGAGGCUUUCACGAAAGUAUUUUUGAAAAGAUACACAUAGAGAUUGCGCGUUCGGUGCAAUGCAACAAUGUGAGCCAUUCUGAAGUCUUAAAUUUCAGAUUAAUGAAUGCUACAAAAUUCUAAGAAGGGCCGUUUCCAAAUAUUUGAGUUCAUUCAUCCGAACAUCGGGUAUAUGCUUCUUUCUCUAGCCCCUCCUUGAAGGGAGGAGGGACAAUGUGAUCUGUAUCGUUAGAAGCUAUUCCAUGUCGUCAUCUUUGGGCUCAGUUCAAUACUAAAAGAUAUGGGCGGGGCCCUUAUCAUUUUAUAUUUCUUCUAGAAGGUUUAUUCUGGAAAUCUUUCACAGAAACAUAUCUUUUUCUUCUCUACGUGAUCCGUGGUUUGAAAGUUGGAAAAAUGGGUCCGUUAACAAGCCACCGAGUUGAAAAGUUGGAAAAAUGGCAACACCGCCAACCUCUUGUAUUCGAUAGUUAAAUAAAAGGUCACUGGAAGUGAGAUCCCUUUUGGCCUCUUGAUUUUCAUUCCAGCAUCUCUAUGGCCUGAUAAAUUAAAAAACUAAAAAAAAAGACAGUACGUGGGUUGGUGUUAAGCAUCAAGAGUCAAGACAUGAUAAUGGAGAGAAAGGAUAUUCAAAUUCCAGUUCUGACAACAUGAUUUUCUUUGCUGAACUACCAUAUUAUAUUUGAUCAAGAAAGAGUAGUGCAUGUGGCCAGGAUCAAGACAUACAUUAAUUUCCACAUGAUGAAGACAGUUUCUGAGAGUUUCUUCUAAAGCUCUUGCGCGAGUAGGCUUCAAGUCAAAAUCUCCCAUGUAAACACUGGUUUUUCUUUCAUUGCCACUAAGGAUGCAGUUAAUAUUGACUUAAGAUCCUACGUGAUAUAUUUUUUUAAAAGAGCUAUAUUGUAGAUAAUAUUUGAAAUAAUGUUGAUUCGUUGUGGAAAUAUAUUUGUAAGGAAAGUUGUUGACAAUUUAAUAUAGUAUAAGAAGAAAAAAGUUAUCAACUAGCUAGAGAUGAGUAUGUAAAGUGAGGCUCACGAUUCAACGCGUAAAUAUAAGAUAUUUUAAGGCUCAAUAGUUAUGAUAUCUAUUUUAUUUUUUGUAUCUCAUAUAUUCAAAGAUAUAGUAAAAUGAUUUUACAUAUAUAUAUAUAUAUAUAUAUGAACAUAACUAUUUGUGCCAAUUGAUUUUUAUCUUUAUUUUGUAUAUUAGUAAUUAUAUUAAAGUUUUUACUAAUAUAAUAACUAAUAUAAAAGCUUUUUCUAAAAGAGUCAACAGAGCAAAACACUUAUUAUAAAAAAUAAUUUUGAUUGAAGGUGGAGUCAAUUAUUCUUUAUUUAACAUGUAAUGCAUACGGCGUGUACUUCAUAACUAAAGUAUAUAAGUGUAACAUCUCUUAUAUAUUCUCAUUCAAUCUCGAAAGUGGAAAUUUUAAAAAGAUUAAACGGUUCAAAUUUGUCGUGCAUAAAGGGGAUCAUGUCACAUAAGCAAACCAUGGCAUACCAAAGACAUAGGUAUGGACUAAGAAUUUUUUUCAAAUAAGUUUCUUAUUAGGGUACAUUAAUAGGUGACUUUUUAUGACAUAUCAAAGGAGUCAAGUGCACCAAUAAAAACAUAUAUAGAAAAUUCAUGCAUGACAUGUAUCACUAAGAGAAGAUUGACUUGAUAGAGUUUAAUCCAAAUAGGAGAUUGUUAAAAGGUGUCUCAAAUUCUUGAUUGAUAUAUAUUUUUUUUAUUAAAAAGGUUAUUAUAUAGAUAUUUCAAUAGACUAUUAAUUCUUUGUAAAAAUAGUUAUAUAAUGAGGAUGGUGAUUAAAAAUAUCUCUAUCAAUAUUUUGGAUUAUAAAAAGAAAAAAAAUGAGAUAAUGAUAAACAUAUAAAACUUGUACAAGUAGAUAAAGAUGUGAUGAAAGACACUUGAUGAAUGAAGGCUUUGUAUUUCAAGAUAUAAAUAUAUGGAGCAAAACUCUUAAUUAUAUGAUCAAAUGAUUCUCUCAUAUUCAUGAAUAUAAGCAGGAUUGGGGAACCAUGAUAGAAUCUUAUAUGCCUCUCCAUGUAGAGUGAUCGAUGUUUAUCUUCAUAUUUUACACCAGUGAAUGACAUUGAAACUCUUAUUGAUAAAAGGGAAAAGGCAUGGCCUCCACCCCAAGAAAAACAAGUAACCUCGGUUUAAAUCACUAGUCUACACCCCGAAGAGAGAACUAGCCAAACCUACUAAAAGAGAAACUUAACAAUUUAGAAAGAAACCGUCCAUGAUAAAGGGCCCCUAAAGGUCCAAUUCAGUGAGGUCGUGAACAAAAACACUUUCAUGUCAAAACAGAGAUAGGUACCACCAAAAUGUAAAGGGAAAGAUGUAAACCACGUCGAACUUUGGUAAUCAAUGGUAAAGAUAGCAUGAUAGCUAAAAGCACUAAAGCUGUGCUUGGUAUGCAAAAAUGAAAAGUGGAAAUCAGCGUCUUAUUCUUUUUCACCUUUAUUCACAUAUUAGGAUAACUAAUAUCUAAUGUUUUUUAUGUCUCAAAUUCUAUUCCAUGUUAUGGUAAACUUUCAUCUUGUUUAGAUCACUUUUGUCUGGUUUGGGCUCAAGACGAUAAGCCUAUAGAGACUUCAUAUUGGGUUGAAUCGAUGCCCUUGAUCUGAUCUGUUCGUUAGAAAAAUCUGAAUUAUUAUAAGCAUUUAGAUAAAAAAUAAAUAAAUGUGAAACACAAACUACUCCCUGCACAACCUUGACCCUAGUUACUCAGUUUCACUGCUCACAGGACUAACCUCUCCAUUCAGUCGAAAUGAAUUGUAACAAGAAGAUUUUUGACAGGAGGACGGUAGUUUAAAAUAAUAAUUUCUAAAGUACUUUUGUGAAAAAAAAUAAUUCCAAACGUGGAUUUUAUCAAGUAAAAAGAAAAAAAAAAGUUAUUUUCUUUUAAAAUCUGUUCUUCUAAAGAUGAUAUAUAUACCAAAAAAAAAAAUUGUUUUCUGAAGGUAAAAUUUUUAAAAUUCAUUUUUAAAAAAAUUUACACACUAAAAUUAUCUUUUCAAGAGAAGAUUUUUUUAAUUUUAAAUAAUUAUUAAUUUAUAAUUAAUUUGUUAUUAAUUAUUUAUUAAUUUUUUUAUUUGAAAAAUGCAUUUAUAAAAAACAAAUUUGUUAUUAAUUUAUUAAAUAAUUUUUACAAAAUAAAUAAUUUUUUUUUAUUUUAAUUUUAAAAUUAAUUUUAUUAUAUAAAUUUUAAAAUUAAAAAUAUUAAUAUUUAAUUUAAAAUUUAACUAUAAAAGGAAUAAAAUAUAGAAAAAUAAAUUAAUUUAUUAUUCAAUAAAUUAAUUUUCAAUAAAAUUUUCAGCAUUAAGAGAUAAAUUUUUAAGUAUUAAUCAAUUUAAAAAGAAAUAAUGAUCAUUUGUAUAUUAAGAUAUUUUAUUUAGUAAUUAUGAAUGAUAAACAACUAAAGUAAUUUGAAAAAAUAAUAAAAUAUUUAAAAAAUAAUAAUUUAAUACACGUAAAAUUAGAAAUGAUUAACUAUUUUUUAUUAAGAAAAAAUUGAGGAAAUAUUUUGUUAUUUAAAAUUUUUUAUUUGUUUUCAAUUUUUAAUGUUAUAGGUUUCAAGAAAAUUGAUCAAAUAAAAAUUAAGAAGUCAUUUUUUCAAAAACUAUAUAUCUAAAUAAAAGCCUUGAAAUUCAAAUACACAAUAUCAUAAAUAUAAACACCAAGUCAAUCCUUAAUUAUCAAAUGUUUUUAAUAUUAAAGAAUCAAAAUCACCUACUAUCAUGAUAAUAAGAAAACCAAUAAUAUUGUUCAUAUAAAUACUAAAAAGCUAACAAAUAUCCCAAACAAUUAAUAAAGUAUCAAACAUGAUAAAAAGUCAAUUAUUAUCAUGAAUGCAAAAAAUCAAUAAUUUUGUUUAUAUGAACCAUCAACAAAGAAAAAAAAAAUCAAUAUCUAAAUAUUAAACAUAAUUUAUAUUUUUAUAAAUAUUAUUGUUGAUAAAUAUCUUAACAAUUAUAAUUUUAGUAAAUAAAAUUAAUUAAUUUUAGUUUAAGAAUUAUUUUUUUAUACUUUCGUAUUCUUAUCAAAAAUCCCCAUUUUGCAUGUCUCCUUUGGCAUGACUUUCUUACCUAAACAAGCAUAUAUAUAUAUAUAUAUAUAUAAAAUAUUUGGUUAAGAAAGAGUACUAAAGUUUAUAUGGCACACAUCAAGAUAGAAACAGAAGUGGAAGAUAAUCCAAAUGUAUGAACAGAUAUAUUAUAUCCAUGUAGUGGUAGUGACUUCAUUAUUUACUUUUAUCUAAUGGAGCAUGACACACUUCUUCUGAAUAUUUUGCACGAUUAUGUUAUGUGUCAGCUUGUUCUAAGUCAAAACUAGUGAUAAAAAUCGGUUUUUUUUGCAUUUCCUUCAUGAAGAUGGCACCUGGAUGGGGCACUACAUGAGUGGCAUAGCACGAAGUGAUUUAUCUGCUCCCUUUACUAUAAAGUGCUUUGUGUAUAAGUUACACCUCCCCUGCACUGCCUCAACAUUUGUUGUUCUGUCUUCCGUCUGUCCAAACGAGGACAAACGUAUGUUGUAGGUUGACAAAACCACAGCUAGCCUAGGAUUUGCAAGGAUCUAGUUUGAUUCGUAUGCAAAAGGAUUGGUGAAAAGAUUCACAAAGAUAAUGCUUUUUGCAAUGCAAUCUUGUUCUAAUUCAACAGUGUGGACCAUUUUCAUGUAAUGCUUCAACUAGAUGUCAGUUUCAUGAAUUUUUGUUCAUCUAAUUGAUCACUGGAUAGGCCAUAACCCGAAGAAAUUCAAAAUUCCCUUCAGUACUGUAGCUAAGGAAAGAUCCCUAUCUACCACUGGGAUUUUAAGAGGGUAAAAAUGUAGGUGGGUGCCUAUAUCAUUUGCACUUCACUAUAGGCCUCUUUGGGAAGAUUUCUUCUGAAGACAUUUCAAAGAAACAUAUUUUUCUCUUCUCUCCGUAAACGGCAGCUGCAAGUCAGUCCAUUCACAGGCCACCGAGUUGAAAAGGCUGGAAAAUUGGCCAAAGCACCCGCCUCCUGGAUUCCAUGGGUAAGGAAAAGGUCACUGGAGGUGUGAUCCCUGUUGGCCUCUUGAUUUCCAUUCCGCCAUCUAUAUGACCUGAUAACCCAAAAACACAGAAGGAAAACGUCACCUGGGUUCAUAGUAAGCAUCAAGUCAUGAUAGAGACCAGACAACAUGACCAACAAAGAGUAGCGAAUGGGGCCAACAUCAAGCCCCAUUACGGUUAGAAGAUGGAAGAAGUAGAAGACAAUCCAAUUCUGAUAGAUUCGGGCAAAUGUAGUGCUGUUCAAACUUAAUCAUUUACUAUUUCUUCAUGAAUCACGGCAUUUUUCUUCUGAAAAUUUUCCAAGAUUAGGCCUCUGAAGAAAAAUUUCAUAUGUAAAUUGGUAUAUUAAGGAAAAGGCGUUACAAAGGUGAAAAAAAACCAAUCAAAUCUUAUAUAUGACAUCUCAAAAAUAUGAACUUGCUAUAAAUAUUUAAAAUCAAAAUCUUGCACAUCACCUCGUAGUACGAACUUGCUAUAAAACUUGAAAAUCAAGAAGAAAGGGGCAGUAUUGGACGAGACUACUUAGCACAUAUUAUUAUGAUGUUUUUUCAUUUUCUUAAUGUUGUUUUUAUGUCUUAAAUUCUAUUAUUCUAUGUUACGGUAAACAUUCAUCUUGUUUGUGUGGAAUAGGAUCACUUUUCUCUGGGUUGAGUCGAUGCCCUUAGUUAAUUUGUUCAUUUGAAUAAACUAAAUUAUUAUAAGUAUUUAGAUAAGAAAAACGUGAUACAUAAAUUACGCCUCUCGGCACAACUUCAACACUGGUUACUCUGUUUCAGUUUCCUCACACAAGAUUAUUGGUUCUAGGGUUUAUUUGGUUUUGGUUUGAUUCUAAUUGCUAAACUUUCUCAAGGAAGAUGUUAUAUAGGGAGUGAGAAACCUUCACUCUUGGCUACCUCCAAGAGAAGAGCAAGUGGUCUGAAUCAAAGAUAUACUGCUCACUUUUUCUUCUUCUAAGGACAGCUAUGACCUUGCUUUAAGGUUCGAAUAGCCUAAUGCAACCUCCCAUUUCUCAAGUCAGCUGAUGAUGUAAGUCACCUUGGCUUUCCACAUUCAUACGGUGAGGACGUUUGUGGGUGUAAUUCUCUUAACAGUUUUCAUUUUAUAUGGAAAAAUUCAUAAUUAAGGGUAAUUACUGAUUCCAUUUGACAGUGACCAAGUUUAAAAUAUUAAUUCAUAUAUUAAAUGCACAUUAAAAAAUCAUGGAAUAAAUAUAUUUACUAAUAUAUAGUUCUUUUGCCAUGUUCUGUCACAGAAGCAUCGAACUUUCCCUAGAAAUUUUUGCAUGGUAUUCUACUUAUGAUUUUGAAAACUCUAGGCACCUGAGGCCACUAAUUGCAUGGUUGGAUGAGGAGCUGCAUGAGAUUAUGUAUCGUGUUGUUCCUUAACUACAAAUAUCAGUUUUAAGUAGCAUCUCCAUGUGACAUUUUCCUGAUGCAAUUUCGCUGUCCACCAACAAAUUUCACCAUGCAGCAAGAUGAAUUGUAAUUUCUUUAUUGUUAUCAACAGCUUUAAUUAAUCUUGAUAUAUAUAUAUAACUUAGUAGAAGUAUAUUAAUCUAGAUUGUAGUUGCACUAAGAUAAUAGGCAAUAUUAUAACAGUGCCACAAUGCUCAUCGCCAAAUAGAAAGGUAGAAAAACUACAAUGAGUAACUCACAACAUUCUCAAACAGGACAUAGCGGCGACUGAUACAUAGAACACUAUUGGCACUCAGGAAAUGAUAAGAUCAGUGCCCAGCAGGCAGCACGUCUUAUUUUACAUACUACUUAAAACUAACCAAAGUCAUUCAGUUGGGAUGGGUGGGAGAUGGUGGUUUGUGCGGUGGCUUUUGGGUAGUUGGUGGCUUCUUUCCUGGAACUGAUGGUUUUUUUGUUGGAGUUGAAGGAGGCUUAAUCGUCUGAGGUGGCUUGUAUGAGUCUUCAGCACUCUCUGCGGGAGGGUGCCCAGGGUUGUGACCAUAAUGGGGUGGCUUCUCUCCCUUAGUUGGUUUGCCAAGUGGGCUGGCUGGCUUGUGCUCCGGGAGCGGCUUCUCUCCCUUAGGUGGUUUGCCAAAUGGGCUUGCUGGCUUGUGCUCUGGGAGCGGCUUCUCUCCCUCAAGAAGUUUACGGGUUUUGUCAGAUGGCUUGUGUUCUGGUGGUGGCUUCUCUCCUUGGGGUGGUUUGCCAAAUGGACUUGGUGGCUUGUGUUCGGGGAGUGGCUCCUCUCCCUUGGGAGGUUUAGUUGGUGGCUGGUGUUCCAUAGGUGGUUUCUCAACCGGGGGCUUGUUCUCCGUUGGUGGUUUAUGAACUGGGGGAUGCUUGGGGUAGUCAGCAAGAGACGGGGUGGUGAGAACCACCAGUCCCAGCAGCAACACUAGCAAGUAUGUGGAAGAGUACAUCUUUGAGUUCAGGCUGAGAUUUGUGCGAGACUUGAAGAAUUAGGUGGCCUUUUAUAGCUGGCUGCACCCAACACUCACAUGACACGUAUCAUGGUGACACAUGUGCUAUGGGUCCAUUUGGGUCCUACAGAAGCUGAAAACUUUUGACUAUUGAGGUGUGGUCACAACUUUUGUCCCUAUUGCUUUCUCCGCAACCGUUUUACAUGUUUCCUUUGGCAUAAUUUUCUAAGCUAAACAAGCAUAUAUCAUAUUUGGUUAAGAAAGAGUAAAGUGUAUAUGGCACACAUCAAGGAAGAGAAACAGAAAAAGUGGGAGACAAUCAAUUGUGAUAAACAGAUAUAUUAUAUUCAUGUAGUACUAGUGACUUUAUCAUUUACUUUUAUCCAAUAGAUCAUCACUCUUUCUUCUAAAUAUUUUGGAGGAUAAUGGUACAUGUUGCUUGUUUCCAAGUCAAAAUUGGUGGCAAAAAUCGGCAUGAUACGAAAGGAUUGGUGAAAAGAUUCACAUAGAUGGUGCUUUGUGCAAUGCAGUCUUGCUCUAAUUCAACAGAGUGGACCAUGGUGAUGUAUUUUAAAUUUUAAAUUUUAAAUUAAUGCAUGCUUCAAAGUUUUAACUAGAUGUCACUUCCAUGGAUUUUUGUUCAUUUAAUUGAGCACAGGAUAGGCUAUCAAACUUGAAGUAAUAUAAAAAUCCCUUCAUUACUGUAACUAAUGAAAGAUCAUUAUCUGCGCUUGGUAUUUUGCCAAGGUAUUUGCUGCUCUUUCUAGCCCUGUCUUACAGUUAAGGACAAUGUGAUCUAGUUAACCUUAGAAGCUAUUCCAUGUCAGAUACAAGAGAUCAAGCACAUUAUCUUUGGGCUCAGUUCAAAACUAUAAUAUAUGGGUGGGGUGGAGGCCCAUAUCAUUUGCAUAUCACCACUAUUGGUUUAGUUUGGAAGGUUUCUUCUGGAAGAUUGCUGCUUUCUGGAAUCAUUUCAAAGAAAUAUAUCUUUUUGUUCUCUUGGUGACGAGCAGCGGCAAUCAAGUCUGUUGACAAACAACCGAGUUGAAAAGUUUGAAAAUUGGUCACAGCCCACGUCCAUGGUUAAGGAAAAGGUCACUGGAAGUGAUCCCUUCUGGGCCUCUUGAUUUCCAUUCUGACAUCUAUAUGACCUGAUAAAUAGAAAGAAAAAAAAACAGAAGAAAAGCGGCACCCGGGUUCAUAGUAAGCAUCAAGACAGGAUACUGAAAGAAGGGAGAAAGGAGAUUGCAAGUCCAAUCCUGAUAAAAUGAUCAACAAAGAGUAUCAAAAUGGGGCCAACAUAAAGACCCAUUGAGGUUAGCAGAUGGCAUGGCAUUUUUCUCCUUAAGUUUUCCAUGAUUAGACUUGAAGUCAAAAUUUCACAUGUAAAUUUGUAUUUCUACAUUUCCCACUGACGACACCCAACUUCAACUUGAGUUAGAAUAACAUUGUGUGAACUUAUCUGGCCCUCAAAAUUUACUGUGAAGUGCUUUCUGCGUGUGAAGAUUCAGAAAAGCACCAAGGGAACAUGUAUGGUCUGCCUUUUUCUGAUGUUAUGUUUGUCUCUAAUUCUGUUCCAUGUCAUGGUAAAUGUUCACAUUGCUUGUAUGGAACACACCAGGAUCACUUUUUCGGGUUUAUUUUGAGGCUUCAUAUUGGGUUCAUAUUGGGUUCAAUGCUUUUAAUGUGUUCAUUAGACAAAUCUGAAUUAUCAUAUGCAUUUAGAUAAGAACAAUAAUGUGAAACCCUAGUUACACCUCCCCUGCAUAACCCCAACCCUGCUUACUCUAUUUCAGUUUACUCACACAAGUUUUACCGGUUCUUAUAAGUCAAGAAAAGGCAACUGAUGUUGGAUUGACUCUCUUCCAUGUAUAAAAAGCAACUUUUAUAUAUACAUAAAAUAACUUCUUCCCCUCACCAAUGUGGGAUAUCAUGGAUUUAUUCUGGAAACACAUCAAAGGAACAUCUUUUCUCUUGGGUGACCCUAAGUGGUGAGUCAGACCAUUUGCAUGCCAUUGAGUUGCACAGUUGGAUAAAUGCACCUACCUCCUGGGCUCCAGAGUUAAAAGGGUGGAUCCCUGGAUCGCAACCCUCUUGGCAUCUUGGUUUCCAUUCCAACAUCCACAUGACUUGACAAAACAAAAAACAGAAUAAAAUCAUCACUAUUUUCAUGCUAAGCACCAAUACAUGAUGGAAAUCAUUGCUUAAAGAUUUGGGGUCAUUUAGGUUUUGACUGCCUCCUAACACCUCACCUAAUCACAAGUUUUUAUGCUUACAAAUCAAAUAUCGUUCUUCAUUAUAUUAAAAUCAUUUUAAGAUUUCAGAUCCAUCUGCUAAUUAUGAUUAUGAUAACAUUAAUUCACCUGUGCUUCUCAUUUUCGACACACAAGGCAUCUAGGUUUGCAGGAUUUCCUUAUUAGAUGAGAUAAAUGAGUACGCAUGGUUAUGUAUGCAGCAUUCAUUAACCAUGGUAUGUGACAUUUAGAAUUAAGAUAGCAAGCAAACUUUCCCUGCAGCUUGAGUAAAUUGUGAUUUCUUAGCCUCUAUGAGUGGUUCCCAAAUCAAAUUAACAUAGUGAAAUAUACGUAGUCCAGUGAAAGGAAAUGUAAAUUAUAAACUAACAGCACUACACUACUGGUAACACUCGAUACUCUCUAUAUAAUGCAAUGAAAUAUACGUUAUACGUUGCUUGUUCCAAGUCAAAAUUUGUGGCCAAACGUUGGCCUUUUUUCAUUUUCCCUAAGAUUAAUGCUCACCUGGGAUAGGCACUACAUGAUUUAUCUGCUCUUUUACUGUAAAGUUGCUUUGUGUAUGAGUUACACCUCCCCUGCACACCCUCAACAUUUGUUGCUCUGUUUUCCUUGUGUCCAGACGAGGAUAUUAAGUGGGGGCUGACAAAACGACUGCUAGCCAAGGAUUUACAAGGUCCUGGUUUGACGCUUCCGCGAAAGUAUUUUUGAAAAUAUACACAUAGAGAUUGCGCGUUCGGUGCAAUGCAACAAUGUGAGCCAUUCUGAAGUUUUUAAUUUCAGAUUAAUGAAUGCUACAAAAUUCUAAGAAGGGCCGUUUCCAAAUAUUUGAGUUCAUUUAUCCGAACAUCGGAUAAGUAAUGAUCAUAGAUUAUUAUUAUUAUCUGACGUUCUUAUAAUGGUUGGCAUUAUAAGAGGGUAUAUGCUUCUUUCUCUAGCCCCUCCUUCAAGGGAGGGACAAUGUGAUCUGUAUCGUUAGAAGCUAUUCCAUGUCGUCAUCUUUUGGCUUAAGUCAAUACUAAAAUAUAUGGGCGGGGCCCCUGUCAUUUUAUAUUUCUUCUAGAAGGUUUGUUCUGGAAAUCUUUCACCGAAACAUAUCUUUUUCUUCUCUACGUGAUCCGUGGUUGGAAAGUUAGAAAAAUGGGUCCGUUCACAAGCCACCGAGUUGAAAAGUUGGAAAAAUGGCAACACCGCCAACCUCUUGUAUUCGAUAGUUAAAUAAAAGGUCACUGGAAGUGAGAUCCCUUUUGGCCUCUUGAUUUUCAUCCCAGCAUCUCUAUGUCCUGAUAAACUAAAAAACUAAAAAAAAAACAGUACGUGGGUUGGUGUUAAGCAUCAAGAGUCAAGACAUGAUAAUGGAGAGAAAGGAUAUUCAAAUUCCAGUUCUGACAACAUGAUUUUCUUUCCUGAACAACCAUGUUAUAUUUGAUCAAGAAAGAGUAGUGCAUGUGGCCAGGAUCAAGACAUACAUUAAUUUCCACAUGAUGAAGACAGUUUCUGAGAGUUUCUUCUAAAGCUCUUGCGCUAGUAGGCUUCAAGUCAAAAUUUCCCAUGUAAACACUGGAUUUUCUUUAAUUGCCACUAAGGAUACAGUUAAAAUUGACUUAAAAUCCUACGUGAUAUAUAUCUUUAACAAAAGUAUAUUGUAUAUAAUAUUUGAAAUAAUGUUGAUUCGUUGUGGAAAUAUGUUUGUAAGGAAAGUUGUUGACAAUUUAAUAUAGUAUAAGAAGAAAAAAGUUAUCAACUAGAGAUGAGUAUGUAAAGUGAGGCUCACGAUUCAACGCGUAAAUAUAAGAUAUUUUAAGGCUCAAUAGUUAUGAUAUCUAUUUUAUUUUUUGUAUCCCAUAUAUUCAAAGAUACAGUAAAAUGAUUUUAUAUAUAUGAACAUAGCCGAUAGUAUCAUGUUAAAACCUUAUAUGACUCUUUGUGCCAAUUGAUUUUUAUCUUUAUUUUGUGUAUUAGUAAUUAGUAUUAAAGUUUUUACUAACAUAAUAAUUGAUAUAAAAGCUUUUUCCAAAAGAGUCAAACAGAGCAAAACACUUAUUAUAAAAAGAAUUUUGAUUGAAGGUGGAGUCAAUUAUUCUUUAUUCAACAUGUGAUGCAUACAGCGGGUACUUCAUAACUAAAGUAUAUAAGUGCAACAUCUCUUAUACAUUCUCAUUCAAUCUCGAAAGUGGAAAAUUUUAAAAGAUUAAAUGGUUCAAAUUUUCCGUGCAUAAAGGGGAUCAUGUCACAUAACCAAACCAUGGCAUACCAAAGCCAUGAUAUGGACUAAGAAUUUUGUUAAAAUAAGUUUCUUAUUAGGGCACAUUAUGUGACUAUUUAUGACAUAUCAAAGGAGUCAAGUGCAUCAAUAAAGACAUAGAAAAUUCAUGCAUCACAUGUACCACUAAGAGAAAAUUGACUUGAUAGAGUUUAGUCCAAAUAGGAGAUUGUUAAAAGGUGCAUCAAAUUCUUGAUUGAUAUAUAUUUUUUUUAUUAGAAAGGUUAUUAUAUAGAUAUUUCAAUAGACUAUUAAUCCUUUGUAAAAAUAGUUAUAUAAUGAGGAUGGUGAUUAAAAAUAUCUCUAUCAAUAUUUUGGAUUAUAAAAAGAAAAAAAAUAUGAGAAAAUGAUAAACAUAUAAAACUUGUACAAGUAGAUAGAGAUGUGAUGAAAGACACUUGAUGAAUGGAGGCCUUGUAUUUCAAGAUGUAAAUAUAUGGAGCAAAACUCUUAAUUAUAUGAUCAAAUGAUUCUCUCAUAUUCAUGAACAUAAGCAGGAUUGGGGAACCAUGAUAGAAUCUUAUAUGCCUCUCCAUGUAGAUUGAUCGAUGUUUAUCUUCAUAUUUUACACCAAUGAAUGACAUUGAAACUCUGAUUGAUAAAAGGGAAAAAGCAUGGCCUCCACCACAAGAAAAACAAGUAACCUCGGUCUAAAUCACUAGUCUACACCCCGAAGAGAGAACUAGCCAAACCUACUAAAAGAGAAACUUACCAAUUUAGAAAGAAAUCUUCCAUGAUAAAGGGCCCCUAAAAGUCCAAUUCAGUCAGGUUGUGAACAAAAACACCUUCAUGUCAAAACAGGAAUAGGUACCACCAAAAUGUAAAGGGAAAGAUGUAAACCAAGUCGAACUUUGGUAAACAAUGGUAAAGAUAGCAUGAUAGCUAAAAGCACUAAAGCUGUGCUUGGUAUGCAAAAAUGAAAAGUGGAAAUCAGCGUCUUAUUCUUUUUCUCCUUUAUUCACAUAUUAGGAUAACUAAUAUCUAAUGUUUUUUUUAUGUCUCAAAUUCUAUUCCAUGUUAUGGUAAACUUUCAUCUUGUUUAAGUGGAAGAGUAGGAUCACUUUUGUCUGGUUUGGGCUCAAGACGAUAAGCCUAUAGAGACUUCAUAUUGGGUUGAAUUGAUGCCCUUGAUCCGAUCAGUUCGUUAGAAAAAUCUGAAUUAUUAUAAGCAUUUAGAUAAAAUAAAUAAAUAAAUGUGAAACAGAGACUAUUCUCUGCACAACCUUGACCCUAGUUACUCAGUUUCACUGCUCACGGGACUAACCUCUCCAUUCAGUCGAAAUGAAUUGUAAUUUCUUUACUGGUAGCAGUAGUACUUUUCAUAGCAAAGAUAAUAGUAAAUAUGAAAUAUAAAUAUAUAGAAGGAAAUCUGGAUUGUAGAUAGCACCAUAAGUAACACUCAAUAUUUACUACAUAAUAAAAGAGAUAGUGUUACAAAGGUAGAGAAACCUACAAUGAGUACUCAUCACCAUUCUCAAACAGAAACAUAGCAGUGACUUAUACAUAGAACCUAUAGGCUCGCAGGGAAAGAGUAACAUGAUAAGUGCACAGCGGGUAGCAGCUCUUAUUUUACGUAUUACUCAAAAUCUCAAACUAACCAAAGUCACUCAGUUGGGAUGGGUAGGAGAUGGUGGUUUGUGGGGUGGCUUCUGGGUAGGAGCUGGUGGCUUCUUUGUUGGAGUUGAAGGAGGCGUAAUCUUCUGAGGUGGCUUGUAUGAGUCUUUGGCACUCUCUGCAGGAGGGUGCCCAGGGUUGUGACCGGAAGGAGGUGGCUUCUGUCCCUUUGGUGGUUUGCCUAAUGGGCUUGGUGGCUUGUGCUCCGGGAGUUGUUUCUCUCCCUCGAGUAGGUUUCGAGUUUUGUCAGAUGGCUUGUGUUCUGGUGGUGGCUUCUCUCCCUGGGGUGGUUUGCCGAAUGGGCUUGGUGGCUUGUGUUCGGGGAGUGGCUUCUCUCCCUUGGCAGGUUCAGUUGGUGGCUGGUGCUCCGUAGGUGGUUUCUUCACCGCCGGCUUCUCUCCCUGGAGAAGGUUACGAGUUUUGUCAGAUGGCUUCUGUUCUGGUGGCGGCUUCUCUCCCUGGGGUGGUUUGCCAAAUGGGCUUGGUGGCUUGUGUUCGGGAACUGGCUUCUCUCCCUUGGCAGGUUCAGUUAGUGGCUGGUGUUCCGUAGGUGGUUUCUUCACCGGCGGCUUGUGCUCCGGAAGCGGCUUCUCUACCUGGAGAAGCUUACGAGUUUUGUCAGAUGGCUUGUGUUGUGGUGGUGGCUUCUCUCCCUGGGGUGGUUUGCCAAAUGGACUUGGUGGCUUGUGUUCGGGGAGUGGCUUCUCUCCAUUGGGAGGUUUAGUUGGUGGUUGGUGUUCCGUAGGUGGUUUCUGAAGUGGGGGAUGCUUGGGGUAGUCAGCAAGAGACGAGGUAGUGAGAACCACCAGUCCCAGCAGCAAUACUAGCAAGGAUGUGGAAGACAUCUUUGAGUUCAGGCUGAGAUUUGUGCAAGGCUAGAAGAAUUAGGUGGCCUUUUAUAGCGGGCUGGACCCAACAACCAAAUGACACGUAUCAUGAUACACAUAUGUGUUAUAAGAUCCUUGUGGGUCCUACAGAAGUUGAAAACUUUGACAAUUGAGGUGUGAUUACAACUUUUGUCCCUAUUGCUUUCUCGUCAGCCGUUUUGCAAGAUUUUUGACAGGAGGACGGUAGUUUAAAAUAAUAAUUUCUAAAGUACUUUUGUGAAAAAAAAUAAUUCCAAACGUGGAUUUUAUCAAGUAAAAAAAACAAAAAAAAGUUAUUUUCUUUUAAAAUCUUUUCUUCAUGAUUCAUAUACCAAAAAAAGAAUUGUUUUCUGUAGGUAAAAUUUUUAAAAUUCAUUUUUAAAAAAAAAAAAUUACACACUAAAAUUAUCUCUUCAAGAAAAUAUUUUUUAAAUUUUAAAUAAUUAUUAAUUUAUAAUUAAUUUUUUAUUAAUUAUUUAUUAAAUUUAUAUGUGAAAAAUGCAUUUAUAAAAAACAAAUUUUUUAUUAAUUUAUUAAAUAAUUAUUUACAAAAUAAAUAAUUUUGCUUUAUUUUAAUUUUAAAAUUAAUUUUAUUAUAUAAAUUUUAAAAUUAAAAAUAUUAAUAUUUAAUUUAAAAUUUAACUAUAAAAGGAAUAAAAUAUAGAAAAAUAAAUUAAUUUAUUAUUCAAUAAAUUAAUUUUCAAUAAAAUUUUCAGCAUUAAGAGAUAAAUUUUUAAGUAUUAAUCAAUUUAAAAAAUAAUAAUAAUCAUUUGUAUACUAAGAUAUUUUAUUUAGUAAUUAUGAAUGAUAAACAACUAAAGUAAUUUGAAAAAAUAAUAAAAUAUUUAAAAAUAAUAAUUUAAUACACUUAAAAUUAGAAAUGAUUAACUAUUUUUUAUUAAGAAAAAAUUGAAGAAAUAUUUUGUUAUUUAAAAUUUUUUAUUUGUUUUCAAUUUUAAAUGUUAUAGGUUUCAAGAAAAUUGAUCAAAUAAAAAUUAAGAAGUCAUUUUUUCAAAAACUAUAUAUCUAAAUAAAAGCCUUGAAAUUCAAAUACACAAUAUCAUAAAUAUAAACACCAAGUCAAUCCUUAAUUAUCAAAUGUUUUUAAUAUUAAAGAAUCAAAAUCACCUACUAUCAUGAUAAUAAGAAAACCAAUAAUAUUGUUCAUAUAAAUACUAAAAAGCUAACAAAUAUCCCAAACAAUUAAUAAAGUAUCAAACAUGAUAAAAAGUCAAUUAUUAUCAUGAAUGCAAAAAAUCAAUAAUUUUGUUUAUAUGAACCAUCAACAAAGAAAAAAAAAAUCAAUAUCUAAAUAUUAAACAUAAUUUAUAUUUUUAUAAAUAUUAUUGUUGAUAAAUAUCUUAAUAAUUAUAAUUUUUUAUAUAUUAAAUUUAGUAAAUAAAAUUAAUUAAUUUUAUAAUAUAAGAUAUAUAUAAUAAUUAAGAGACUAUUUGUCCCAAACAAUUUAUUUAUUUUUUUUUUAGGAAAUUGUCUCUUCAAGAGACGACUUCUCCCAACAUUUUUAAAAAAAAAAAAAAAAACAUCUAUUCAAAAGACGAUUUCUCCUCAUUUUUUAAAAAUGAAUUUUAGAAAUCAUAUUUUCAAAAAUGAAUUUUAGAAAUCAUAUUUUCAAAAGACGAUUUUUUUUUAUAUAAAUUAUUUUUUAAAAUGACGAUUUUAAAAGGAAAUAACGAUCUCUCUCCUACUUGGCAAAAACUAUGGUAAAUUUGGAAUUAUUUCUUCCACAACCAUAGUUUAAGAAUUAUUUUUUUAUACUUUCGUAGACUUAUCAAAAAUCCCUAUUUUGCAUGUCUCAUUUGGCAUGACUUUCUUACCUAAACAAGCAUAUAUAUAUAUAUAUAUAUAUAUAUCACUUUUGUCUGGGUUGAGUCAAUGCCCUUAACUAAUUUGUUCAUUUGAAUAGUCUAAAUUAUUAUAAGCUUUUAGUUAAGAAAAAUGUGAAACAUAAAUUACACCUCUCGGCACAACUUCGACACUGGUUACUCUGUUUCAGUUUAUUCACACAAGAUUAUUGGUUCUAGGGUUUAUUUGGUUUUGGUUUGAUUCUAAUUGCUAAACUUUCUCAAGGAAGAUGUUAUAUAGGGAGUGAGAAACCUUCACUCCUGGCUACCUCCAAGAGAAGAGCAAGUGGUCUGAAUCAAAGAUAUACUGCUCACUUUUUCUUCUUCUAAGGACAGCUAUGACCUUGCUUUAAAAUGUUCGAAUAGCCUAAUGCAACCUCCCAUUUCUCAAGUCAGCUGAUGAUGUAAGUCACCUUGGCUUUCCACAUUCAUACGGUGAGGACGUUUGUGGGUGUAAUUCUCUUAACAGUUUUCAUUUUAUAUGGAAAAAUUCAUAAUUAAGGGUAAUUACUGAUUCCAUUUGACAGUGACCAAGUUUAAAAUAUUAACUCAUGUAUUAAAUGCACAUUAAAAAAUCAUGGAAUAAAUAUAUUUACUAAUAUAUAGUUCUUUUGUCAUGUUCUGUCACAGAAGCAUCGAACUUUCCCUAGAAAUUUUUGCAUGGUAUUCUGCUUAUGAUUUUGAAAACUCUAGGCACCUAAGGCCACUGAUUGCAUGGUUGGAUGAGGAGCUGCAUGAGAUUAUGUAUCCUGUUGCUCCUUAACUACAAAUAUCAGUUUUAAGUAGCAUCUCCAUGUGACAUUUUCCUGAUGCAAUUUCGCUGUCCACCAACAAAUGUCUCCAUGCAGCUAGAUGAAUUGUAAUUUCUUUGUUGUUAUCAACAGCUUUAAUUAAUCUUGAUAUAUAUAUAACUUAGUAGAAGUAAUUAAUCUAGAUUGUAGUUGCACUAAGAUAAUAGGCAAUAUUAUAACAGUGCCACAAUGCUCAUCGCCAAAUAGAAAGGUAGAAAAACUACAAUGAGUAACUCACACAACAUUCUCAAACAGGACAUAGCGGCGACUGAUACAUAGAACACUAUUGGCACUCAGGAAAUGAUAAGAUCAGUGCCCAGCAGGCAGCACGUCUUAUUUUACAUACUACUUAAAACUAACCAAAGUCAUUCAGUUGGGAUGGGUGGGAGAUGGUGGUUUGUGCGGUGGCUUCUUUCCUGGAACUGGUGGUUUUUUUGUUGGAGUUGAAGGAGGCUUAAUCGUCUGAGGUGGCUUGUAUGAGUCUUCAGCACUCUCUGCAAGAGGGUGCCCAGGGUUGUGACCAUAAUGAGGUGGCUUCUCUCCCUUAGGUGGUUUGCCAAGUGGGCUGGCUGGCUUGUGCUCCGGGAGCGGCUUCUCUCCCUUAGGUGGUUUGCCAAAUGGGCUUGCUGGCUUGUGCUCUGGGAGCGGCUUCUCUCCCCCAAGAAGUUUGCGGGUUUUGUCAGAUGGCUUGUGUUCUGGUGGUGGCUUCUCUCCUUGGG